This 48888-nucleotide long non-coding RNA is filed under the name Capsicum annuum. RNAcentral describes it as "long non-coding RNA (CANN_LNC003931)". The stretch from base 42474 to 42547 matches the Rfam family "tRNA". The record is from RNAcentral. Lineage: Eukaryota; Viridiplantae; Streptophyta; Magnoliopsida; Solanales; Solanaceae.
UUUUUUUUUUUUUUGGUAGUUUUGAUGGUUUAUUUAACUAUUGUGUGAAUUUGAUACAGCUGCGUUGUAUUUUUAUAGUCGAAAUGUUUUUUUGACUGUUUUGAAUGAGCUAGUUUAUUCUGAAAUCUGAAUUAUGAGCUAGUAUACAGUGUGUAAAGUCUGUGUCUGGUGUGCAUUACUUCUUGAAAAUGUCCUUAGAUUGUUUAUGGUAUUUAGUAUUUACAUUCUUAGAACCACCAGGCCGCCCCAUUUAUAGACAUUUGAUCUUGCCGUAUAAGUAUGGACUAGUCAUAAGUAUAUGCAAGUUAUUAUUGGCGUGAGUCUGAGUUUAUUUUGGAGCGAAUAGAGUAGCAUCACGUCUUCAAUUGUUGGCUCUGCCGUUGAACUUUAGAAUUUUUAUGGAUUUGCUUAGAGACAGUGUUAUCAAAAACUAAAAGCACAAAAAAAUGCUCUAGGUCUGUUGGCGAUUAGAAAAGGAAGCAAAAAAAAAGAAGCUCUAGGUCUGUUGGCAAUUGAUGCGCAAAUAAAGCGUGGGCUUUAAAGAGAAAAGGAAGUGCAAAAAAAAGCUCUAGGUCAGUUGGCGAUUUAAGCGCAAAUGAAGCGCGGGCUUUAAAGAGAAAAGGAAGCGCAAAGAAAAGCUCUAGGUCUGUUGGUCAUUUACGUGCAAAUAAAGUGUGGGCUUUAAAGAGAAAAGGAAGCGCAAAAAAAAAGCUCUAGGUCUGUUGGCCAUUUACGUGCAAAUAAAGCGUGGGUUUUAAAGAGAAAAGGAAGCGCAAAAAAAAAGCUCUAGGUCUGUUGGCGAUUUAAGCGCUUUAAAGAGAAAAGGCGCGAAUGGAGUUAAAGAUUAGAGAUACAGACAUAUAUGUUUAAUCCAGGAUUUAAUAACCACAAAUAUCAAUAUCAAAUAUAUGGACAAAGAGAUUGAUUUUUUUUUUCCAGAAAAAGUAAAAUAUUAAUUGUUUAGUGCUGCCUCUUAAUGAAACGCUCAUUCGCUAGGAAACGUUUGUUUUAGAUCCUUAAUGACAACACUGAAGCGGUGAAGCGCACAUUAAGUGAGGCAAAGCUCUAGACGUGUUUUGACUGAAGCUUUCAACAUGCUUUGAGCGAAGCGCUCAACGUGUUUUGAGCCUCACUUCAGGGCUUUUGGGCUUAAUUGUGAGAAUCCCGAGAAGCACCAAUCUAGGAAAGCCAAAGAAGAUUAUUCAUCAAUGUGAAGGGAUUUCUAUCCUCACAAAACUGAGGAAGACAAAUUGAAAGUGUUCCUGUAUUUUGUUUAGUCUAAGGUGUUGAUACGAAAUGCAUACUUCAUUUACGUGCAGUUUUUAUCAAACCUUGUUAGAGUAAACCUAGUUCUAUUAUCUGCAUUCAAUUCUAUCAAAAUAUAUUACCAAGUUCAAUGCAUUUUAUGGUAGGUGGACACUUAUGUUAUCGUCUUAUAUUUUGUAUGCCUAGUCUUUCCGCCAAAUACUCUAAUUGGUGGUAAAUUGAAUGAUUGGCAUGCUGCAGCACAUGGUAUAUCGGUUGUCAGUAGCCCCUGAGAUUUUGUUACUAUGUUGUCAGUGUUCAGGCAAGUCCUUAGGACCCGUUUGGCCAUGAAAACUUAAAACGUAUUCACUCUAUUUGUUUUUUUUUUUUUGAAUUUGAAAAUGGAGUUGAGAGUUGUGUUUGGCCAUAGUAUUUUCAAAAAUAUUUUAGACUUUGAUUGUACUUUUUUGUAAAGUAAUAGGAAAAAUUGUGUGCAAAAAAAGCGAGAACACCUUAAGAGGUGUUUUCAAAAAAAUAAAAUAAAAAAUUGUGAUAACAUAUUCCGGAAUACAUUUUUGGUCUUCAUGGCCAAACAAGUAUUCCGGAAUAAAGUGAAAACGUAUUCCAGAAUAUUCUGAAUAAUAUUUAUGGCCAAAUGCCUACUCAAUGUAUUACACCGUCGUAGAUGUUGUUCAGUGUACACUGUUGUCAAAAAGUACCUAUUUGCUCUCUUUCUUUUAAUAUUUGUUGAUUUAAUGCUUUUGUUUUUUGUUCAGUUUCCAAAAAAACAAAAAAUUGAAACAGUUUCCAAAAAUCCUUUUGUUUUUUCGCCAAGUCUAUGUAGACCUAUGAAAGAUAAUGCAAAAUUAAAGAAAAAGUUUUUUGUAGGCAAUAUUAAUUAGUUGGUAAUUAUGUUUUAGUCAUGUUAAUAUAGCAUGUACUUUAGGUCAUAUGCUUUCGAGGAGUCGGCCAUAUCAAAGAGUUUUAUUGCAAGUAGGAAAUAUAGAGAACUUCUAGUACUUUUAUUUUUAUUUGUGUUUUGUGUAGUUUUGGCGUGAGAUGAAUUUAAAUGGAGAAACAUGGUCAGUGAGGAUUCAUAUAAAUUCUAACCUAUACAAUUUGUUUGUGACUUAGGCAUAGUAGUUUUGUAUUUUUUCGUUCGCUGCAAUAAGUUUUCAUUUCAUUAUUUGUUCUUAAUCUAUCUUGAAGAUUCUACACCGAUGCUGAGAAAUGGAGAAACUGGAGAUUGGAUUGGAACAUUUGAAGGGCAUAAAGGAGCAGUGUGGAGUUGUUGUCUGGAUAAGAAUGCUCUUCGUGCUGCAUCUGCAUCUGCCGAUUUCAGCGCGUAUGUUAUCUAACGGCUUCACUUCAGUACUUUGAAAAUAAACAUUUAAGUGACAUUUGUAUGGAGACAUCAGUCUGCAAGAAGUGAUGUAGAACAAUAAUAGUGCUUUUGUGGCAUGUCUAUUACUGGCCGAUCUUUCAUGUCAUUAUCUACAUAGAUUUAUUAUUAAAUAUCUAAUAGCAUAUUGAAUAUGGUAGAAGCUUCGUCAUCCUUUUUAGAGUUCUCCAUAGCUUAAUUGUCCCUUUUUUUCCUUUUUAUAUUGUGUGAUUUGUGUUGGUUGUUUUUAGGAAAUUAUGGGAUGCAUUAACUGGGGAUGUUUUGCACUCAUUUGACCACAAGCACAUAGUUCGAGCCUGUGCCUUUUCAGAGGUACCUUUACAACCAUAUUUCCUUUACUUCUAUAAAAGGUCUUUCGGGUUAGAGCUUUAUAACUUCACUUAAGUUGUAGUAACCAAGCUAUGAUAUCGAUUUAAUAGAAUACUAUUGUACUGCUAUUUUCUGGUCUUUGUUUGACACAUGUAAAGGGUCUAAUGAAUGUAUUUCUGUUCUUUUAUAACUCUUUUUUUUGAACUUUGCAUCUCCUUGAUGCUUUAAUAAUGAAAUACCUUCAUAAAACAAUAGAAUACUGUGACUGUAUAUGCCCAUCAAGGCUUAUGCAUAUUGGCAGAAAUCACACUUCAUUGACAGGCAGGCCACACUCUUGGGUGCUCAUGUAAAGUCUCCUUAUUUUAGGUUGAAAAAUAAGAGCAGAGAAUGCCAAUUUCAAUUAUUGCCAAGUCAUGAGAGGCUACUGCUAUUGAAAGGCAAACAUCUUUCAUUGUUAAAAACUAACUGAGAUUUUUUCAGGCUUGAGUUAAAUUCUCUAGUCAAUUCUAUGUGAUGGGAACUUAUCUUCCUUUUCUUUUUUUUAUCAGUACACGUGUCAAAGGGACUUCAGUCCAUAUUUAUCUUUCCCAUUUAUUGGCCUUCACAUUCUGAUAAUUUGUAUGAACUAUGUGUGGCGAUUUUGCAGGAUACAAAUCUGCUGCUCACCGGUGGUUUUGAAAAAAUUCUUCGGAUAUUUGAUUUAAACCGACCAGAUGCACCUCCAAGGGAAAUUGACAGCUCUCCUGGUUCAAUUAGGACAGUUGCUUGGCUGCACAGUGAUCAAACUAUAUUGAGUUCCUCUGGAGAUGCUGGUGGAUUGAGGUAGGCUUUCAAAAGUCCGCCGACUCUAUUUGUAUAUUUUGUUUAUGUUUUUCUUGCUGGUUGCAUUAGUGAUGUGGGCCAUGUGGCUAGUGCUCAUUGUCACUUAGACAUAGCAAGUAAUUGUACAUGCUCAAAGCUCAGAGGUUUGAUAAAUUGGUUGCUCACUGUCUUUGCCAAUACAAUGCUUGGAUUUGUAGAUCAAUUCACUGCGAAUAUUACUGGAUACUUGAUACAAAGGCCACACAUGUGGUUCAUAUUUCCGUCAUGAACUUUCACUCCCCCAGUAGUGCUCACUAUCUUAAAUUGGUUUAAUUUAAUUGUUGUAACCUAGGUUAUGGGACGUGAGGAGUGGCAAAGUUGUUCAAAUCCUUGAAACUAAGUUUCCUGUAACCAGUGCUGAAGUAAGUCAAGAUGGUCGUUACAUAACAACUGCUGAUGGUUCCUCUGUCAAGUUUUGGGAUGCUAACCAGUAUGUAUUUGUUUUUCAUACUUUAAUGGCACAAAGAUAUUUUAAAUAGAGAAUGUUGCCACAGUUUACUUUGCAUUUUAACCUUUUUCUUUAAAAGCAGCUUUGGAUUGGUGAAGAGCCAUGACUUGCCUUGCAAAGUUGAAUCUGCUUCCCUGGAACCAAAGUUCGGUAAUAGGUUCAUUGCUGGAGGAGAAGAUAUGUGGGUUCAUGUCUUUGAUUUUCACACUGGAGAGGAAAUUGGUAGGUUGUAUGGGGCUCGUAAAUAUUUAGAAACUGUAGUUACUCUGAUCAGUAUCUUUGUUUAUGUGUUCCUUUUUCUGGUUAUUUUUUCCAGUAUUUGCGUUUUCUCAACUUCACUAAAGGUUUUGCUUCUCUUUCCGUUCAAGCUUUAACCACAUGCUAUAUUCUGUUUCUGUACAACAUAGGUUGCAACAAGGGACACCAUGGUCCUGUCCACUGUUUGCGGUUCUCCCCAGGGGGUGAAUCCUAUGCCUCAGGAUCUGAAGAUGGGACUAUUAGAAUAUGGCAGCUGGGCCCUCUUGGUCAGAUUGAGGACAACGGGUCUACUACUGCAAAUGCCAGUGGUGAUGGUAUGGGUGAGGUGACCCAAAAGAUUGACGAGUUGGCUGUUUCAGAAACAAAGAAGACUGAAGGGACACAUGUUGAUGGUGUGGAGAAGGUAGUUGAUACCUGAUUAGGAGUUUUAAGGAUUUUGUAUGGUUUCACCUCUUGGAAAGCUUGUUUGUAACUUGCUUGACUUGUGAGGUUUUUUCGUAUUAAAUUAAACUUAAAGCUUUUGAGAGUGUUGGCUAUUCUUUUCUUGGCCGUGGUCCUAAUCAUCAGUCAUAUAAUCUAUGGAGUAGUUGUCUCUGUCAAGCUGAGAGAGGUACACACCUAGGUAGCUCUCUUCUCAGGUUCAUGACGUCCUUGAAUUUGCAAUUGCUUUUAAAAACCCGUAGGAUGUCCGAACCAGUAUAGCCGCAUACCUAGGAAGACUCUAGUAGCCUUUUAAGCCGCACACCUACGUAGCCUCAGAGCCUUGAAAAUUUUAUUUGUGCCCGUUUGUUUCAAUGUGUUGGUUCUUUUAAUGUCACGGGUCAGAGUUUAACUAGUUCUUCAAACUUUCGAUGAUUUUCGUGUAAUUAUAUUACAUUUUGCUUGAGUAACCCUUUCUGUAGUUAAAACUUUUUAGGCAAUGCAGUAAAACUUUGUAGUUCGAUGCACUGGUUAAUAUCUGCAAUGCGCAUUUGUCAGCAGCAUUGAUUCAAAGUGCCGGAAUGCAGAAUUCGACAAUGAGGCAUAGUAAAUCACAGAAUAAUGCCAAUAAAUUCGUGCGAGAUUGAUGACCAGCAUCUAACUCUCAGUACAUUUUCGCCUAUGAUCAGCAAUUGGAGCUUCUUGAAUUUAUAUUUUCCGCGUAGGGUCUUUACAGUAUAGUUCAUGUACUUUAGUUUCUUAAAAAAAUUUCGCAGUUUGUUGUUAUAAAAUUAUAACGGGGAGAUGACUCACCUUUUAUUUGAGACGAUAAUUUCGUAAUUGUGUAAAAAAUUAUCAUGAUUUUAAGUAAUAUCUAUAGGCAGAUAUCACUAAUUUAAUCCCUCUGACCAAAAUGGACACCUAAAGUUUGGUGGUUGGUUAGAUUGUUAAGAGUCGUGCAAAAUUUAAUUAUUCAUGUAUUUGUUAUUUAUUUUUUAUCCACACAAAAUCAUACAUUCUUUAAACAUAUUUAUACCUGUUUAAUUAAUGCGAGAUGGUAAAAUAACAAGAAAACACCGUACAUAAUAUACUAAAUUUUAUACAGAACAACAAAAGAAUCACCCAACAUGACAUUAAUUAUACUAAAUUUAGUACUUUAUUCAUUCACUUUUAUUUGUUCACGUUGCUCUUUACACCUCAAUUAAGAAAUAAUGAUUAAUAUGAAUAUUUUAUCAUAAUAUUAAUUUAUUUCUAGGUUCCAGUCUUUAAAAAAUAAUUAAUUACUCUCUAUGUCUCAUUUUAUGUAUCGUCAUUUGACCGGACACAAAAUUUAAGAAAUAAAUGACGAUUUUGUGAAAUUUAUAAAAUUAUCUCUCUUAAAUUUUUAUUUUUAAUUAUUUUUCUUAUAAAAUAAGACUCUAUAAAAAUAAAAUAUGAAUAAUACUAUUAAAUAGUUAACAAAUAAAAAAAUAUAAUACUCUCUUUGAAAAAGACCCAAAAAAAAAAAGCACACAUCAAAUGGAAGGGAGGGAGUAAUAAUAUUUACUAUUAAGAAUAAAAAAAAGUAGGAAGAGUGUACGAAUAACAGUGAAGCAGCAGUAGAUGGAAAAAUAGUCCUUCCUAAACCGGCCAACCAAACGACCCCGUUUAUGUGUCGUACGUAUUAACACGCUAUAUAUAAUACUUAGGAUCCCGAGAGAAUUGAGAAGCAGGCAUGGUUGAAGAAGUAUCAGAAAGGGUGAUGGGUGAUUGUUCAACCUCUUCCAUGUCGUCUAAUUUGAGUGAGGUUUUUCACUUCUCAUCUGGAAACCCUCGCAUCGAAGAAACAAGAGGAAUCAUGCAUCUCUUCUCCAACAACCACCUUUCUUCUCACUUGCCUGUAUGUAUCCUCCUCUUCGUAUUCCAAUCCUUCUGAAUUUGAACUUUUAGUAUUCAGCAUUUUGAUCUUAUUUUGUUUUCUCAAAACUGUUGAUCAAUAAUAGGUCUAAGUUGUGUAAUUAACAAAAAAUAAAACAAUGACUAGGGAUUGACUAUAUGAAUCGGUGUUGAACCUUUAGAAAUGAAGUCGACUUAUCUAGUUCCAUUGAUGUUGUCUCUAGGUGGACAGAAAGCAGCUCCUUUGUGUGCUCUUUGUUCCGAAUCACAUGACGUAUGCGGACUUUUGUCAGUUUUGUGGUUCAUUUAUUCAACAUAUGUUGGAAAUGCGAAUUGUCAGGUACUCUAUUGUAGAUUUUGUGAGGUAUUUAUUUUGACUGGUUGGACUGUGAUUCGUUCUCAACUUUGGUGUCUUGUGUGUACUCCUCUAGGAACGAUGGAAUGGAAGAUUGUUACAGUAUAUUAAUCAGGUUUGAUCAGCAGAAAGCUGCUGAUACAUUUCACAAGCAUUUUAAUGGUAGAAAAUUUUCAUCUCUUGAGGUGUGUUUGAUCAAUAGUUCUCUCCUGCUUUGGCAUCGUAUUAGGUAUCUCAUAGCAUCAGUUUCAUGCUCCGUUCUUGUUUGUUGUUUCUUUGCUUGCAGGAAGAGACGUGCAAUGUCCUUUUUGCUGCUGAUGUUCAUUACACUGGUUCAAUUGAACAUACACAGUCCACACCUGCAAGCUCUACAGAGCAACCGUUCUGCGCUGUUUGUCUUGGUAUUUACCUUAUCUAGUUUCAAAAUACUUUUUUUUUUUUGAAAUGACUUCAUUUUUGGAGCUUACUCAUUCAACCACUGAGCACAUUUAAAGUGAGAUUCACUCCAAAAAUGUUAAGAGAUUUCCAUAUUCAUUCAUUCAUUUUCCUCCAAAUUGUUUGUAACUUUAGUUUUAACAUCUAAUGUAAAAGUUUACCAUUUGCUAUCAAUUAAAGAAUGUGAUGAUUUAGGCCAUGAGAAUAUCAUAUUAGCUUGCUUUAUCAUAUAGCUCGAUAGUAUGAUCUUAGAAGAUCUUAGAGAUAUGUUUUUUUUUUUCGUUUACUCCUUGGGUAGAGUCUAGUAGGUUUCAAGAGUUCCAAAACUAGGUCCUCAUUGAGUCUUCCACUAGAACAAGGAUUCUAGACUAGUAUCAACGAGGAAUAUUUCUAAGGGUUCUAAUUUGUUUGGAACAUUCUUAGAAAUGACACCAUUUACUUAUUUUGGCAAACUGGACUAGUAUAGAAGAAUUGAUUUGGUAUUGAAAUCUCCUUCUUUAUUCUUUCAUUUUCUCUCUUUGUUUCAUUUUAUCUCUUUUCUUUCUUUGUCUCUCCAUAUUUCCGUCUCUUUUCUCUCUAUCCAUCUCUCGUUCUCUCAUUUCUCUUUUAAACACCUUUGUCACAACCCAAGCUGGGGCCAUGACCAACACCCCAGGGGCUUGUCCCGCAAGUGAACCAACUCAACUUAACUCAAUGUCACAUUAAGCUACUUAUUAUCUACUUGUUCCAUCUCAUGACAAUGACUAAUAUCCAACAUGAUUAAAGUAUAAUAUAAACUUGGUAACAGCUACUCAAAGCUCCAUACAAACUCACAACUACUUAAAUGCUUCCCGUCUCAAAGCAUUUAUGAGCAAUUCGAGUAACUUGAUAGGAAGUUGAUUUCCGUGGUCAAGGUAGAUAUGAAUGUCUAUUUUGUCACCUCUACCCAUCCUCUUAGAUUUUACAAUCCUAAAUUUGCUUUCAUUUUUGGAAACGUUGAAUCAAUUUUAACAAUUAAAUAACAUUGAAUCAAUUUAUUAGAGUUUAACCUUAUAAAAGAGAUUGGUAUUCAUGUGGAUGUGUAGCCAGAGAUUUCCAAUUUUUGGAUGGGAAAUAUAGGAGUUUCCUCUCAUAUGUAUCUUAAUUCCUGUGCAAUUUGCAGAGAGACUGGACCAGGAUACAAGUGGAAUUCUUACAACCAUUUGUAAUCAUUCCUUUCAUUGUUCAUGUAUUUCAAAAUGGACAGAUUCUUCAUGCCCUGUAAGUAAUACCGUACUUUUAUCUUUCCAUCAUAUGUUUGACCUUCAACUUAGACAUGUCUAAGGUUUUUUUUUUUUUAAAGUUCUCAUAAAAACACUUAAACAUGGUCUAGAUUUUCUGGAAAACUGGAUUAAUCUUGAUGCCCUAGUAUUCCUAUUCCUGCAAUUGUCAUGGACCAUAACUUGUAUAGGUUUUAGGUGCUUGUCAAUGUCUUAAUUGUUCCCUAGUAUUCCUAUUCCUGUAAUUGUCAUGGACCAUAACUUGUAUAGGUUUUAGGUGCUUGUCAAUGUCUUAAUUGUUAGGUGCUUGUCAAUGUCUUAAUUGCCUUACUUGUUUGCUUUAAAUUUCUGCCGUAAAUUUUUAAGAACGUGGCCUUGUGGAGCAUUUCAAGAUGGAAUGAGAUCCACUUCUACAAUUGUUGUGUGUUGCACAUGCAGUUUUAAUUUUUUAUUGCAUGUAAGUUUCUUGUAUCAUUAUGUAGCCUUUACUUUUCAUCACUCUAUUGAAAGUGGAGGAAAUCUUCUUGUUAUAUCAAUUUGAUACCCUUUUAUGUCUUGAAUUUGUGAACUUUUUACCCCUUACGGUGAAGUCAUUUCCCUCAAGGUUGGUUUAGAGAUCAAAAUCCCCUCCGUCCAAAAUUUUGAAUAAAUGGGCAUUCUCCCCCCUCUCAAGUAGUUGCAGUUGACCUCCCAUUGGUUUUCACCUCCUUAUGUUUUUGAGUUUGGCUGUUAGUUUCCUGUGGUAGCUUGCAAAAUAGACACUUUAAAAACUUAUUUUGGCAUUUAGACACACGUCUUGGAAAAUUAGGUGUUUAGACACUAAAAUGACAUCAUCACUUCUUACAUACAAACCUAGCACACACGAUUUAAAAUUUAUACUUUAGUCCCCCACUUCAUUCAUUUAAUAUUUUCCAUCAUUUUUUAUAUUUCCACCAUUUUUUCAUAUUUUCCUAUUUUAAUUUAAAAAAUUGUCCGAGAAGCCACCAAUAGGAGCUCCCUUUUUCACCAAUAAUUUCCGAUUCCGGCGACUUUCCGACAAAAAGUUGCUCAUCACAACUGAAAAUCUCCAUUCUUGGUCAUUACCUCCAUUGUUGUUCCAUCUUUUUUGAAAAAAAAAAUGCAAAAAAUAUUUUUUUAACCAUUUUUACGAGCUUGAAAAGCUUUUCAAAUCCUCUCAAUACAUAUUUCAGUAGUUUAGAAGUCCUACCCAUACAUUUGUCCAUCUCAGAGCUAGGAGGGCAUCGAUUAUAUCCAAAAUCGAUCCAUUCACGUCUUUGUACAGACGUUUUCAUACCAGUGAUCGACCUGCUAUAGACCGAUACCUUAAUUUAUUAUCGAUUAGUGUGGUCUAUUAUGGCAGUAGCUGAGGAAAUUGUCGUGGGUGGUAAUUAUAUGGGUGUGUGGGAGGAGGGUCCCAACUAUUGGAAGUGGAAAUCAUCUAGCAGGGAGACAGUGCCCAUCCCGCUGCCUCGCAAUGGUUCGUACGACUACAUGGUUUGAAGCGUAAUUGAGAGCGGAGAAUUAGAUUGCGAGCCAAAGAACGUUGUGAUUAGCUAUGUAAUGAAUGAGCGGGGUAAAAUACAUCCCACGUUCAUAAAGAAUGACCGUCAUGUGUCGUUAUAUAUGUUCGAUGUCGUUGUCGAUGGCUCUAGGCCAUUAUUGAGGAUAAAUGUCGUCCCGGGGUCUCCGACAAUCUCGCCACCACAGCCGACAAUCGACGAACAUGAUUUAUUUGAAGAUGAGAGUUUGGAUGCUCAUCCAAUGAAUUUGGAAGAUCAUUCAAUGGAAUUGGAAGAUCCAAUUUUCUCUGAAGAAGCGGGAGAAGAGUGCGGAUUGGGAGCAUAAACCAACCACACCUUCUCUGACGGAACUAAUUUUCAGCUAAGUCAAACAUUUAGCAGCAAAAAGGAGCUGAAAUUGUUGUUGGACGUAGCAGCUAUGAGAAAUUCUUUUGAUUAUGCUAUAUUGAAGAGCUGCCGCAAAUUCCUCAAGGUCAAAUGCGUUUGUCCUAGUUGUGCGUGGAUGUUGCGAGCGAAGAAGUAUCAAUGCAUGGACAGAUUUAUCAUCUAUAAAUACGUUGGUGAUCACAGUUGCGGCGUCGAAUGUGGCACGCACAGCCAUAGAAAAAUCACGUCUAAAGUCAUUGCAUUGCUCUGUGUGAACCUGUAUCGUGAAGGAAAGAUUUCGGACACUAGUGAGAUUCGGAGGAUCGUUUUCAAGAACUUGAGAAGUAGACCAACCUAUUGGAAAUGUUGGUUGGGGGGUGUGAUUGCCAAGGAAAUGGUUUGAGGGACAGCGGAGCACAUGUAUUCUUGCUUGCCGGCUUUUUCGUACAUGAUCGACGCUUUUAAUGUUGGCACUACCUAUUCCAUCAUGGUGAACAAGGUCGAUUGUAGGGUGAUGUACUACUUUUUAGCAUUGGGCCCUUGCAUUUAGGGAUUCGCCCACAUGAGGAAUGUUAUUGUGGUCGACGACACUCAUUUAUACGGCAAGUACGAGGGCGUGUUGCUAAGCGCGGUUGCACAGGAUACCGAGAACCAUAUUUAUCCCAUUGCCUUUUGCGUCGUUGACAAGGAGAACGAUGCGCCUUGGACGUUCUUCUUUGAGAAGCUAAAGUCUAUUGAGGUUGAUGGACCAGAUUUGUGUUUUAUCUCUGAUAGGCACAAGAGCAUUGCCAACGGCAUCGCGAGGGAUUACAACCAUGCUCAUCACGGGUACUGCAUGAGGCAUCUAGGUGAAAAUCUCUGGGUAAAUCACCACUGCGGAGAACACCUCUAUCUAUUCUACAACGCGACAAAGGCGUAUUCUCUCGAGGAGUUUAGCGACCAUUUGAGGAUUCAAGAACUACUAUCCCGCGGAAGCCUUUUUCCUUGAGCAUGAGCUUGGUUUCUAGAAAUGGAGCAGGGCAUUUCCCCGGCAACAGGUUUGACGUGAUGACCUCAAAUAUUGCCGAGUCGAUUAAUUCUAUGUUGAUUGCCGAAAGGGAGUACCUCGUGGCAUCCAUAUUCAAUUCGAUUGCUAAGAGGUUUGGUAAUAUAUUCAAGGAGAGGCGUGCCUACGUCCUCACAUAUAAGGAUAAUAAAUUUGUGUCCGCCGCCGAAAAGAUCUUAAGGGACAAUAUAAGCGAGGGGGACUCCUAUGUGGAGAACGUAAGCGGGGAUGAAAGGCAAUUCACAGUGUUCGUCAGUGGCUGUACAACCAAAGUCGACCUACUGGAAAGGUCAUGUUCUUGCAGGAAGUUUGAGCUGGUCAAAAUACCAUGCACUCACGCGAUGGCCGGUUUGCGAUUGAAGCACGGUGAUGAUUAUGGAUUGAGAGUCUAUGAUUAAUCUUCGCCCGUGUAUAAAGUGGAAGAGUACCUCCUUGCGUAUUCAGAAUCAAUUAAUGUUGUCCCUUUGGAGUCUGAAUGGCGCGUUCCACAAGAAUUGCUAGACGUGAACAUUAUUCCACCUCCGUGGUCACCAAGCUCGAAAGGAAGAAAAGAAAACGCGUUAAGGGCGUGGGCGAGACUUUUAAGAAGAGGAGGAACAAGUGUUCACUAUGCAAGAGACCCACUUGUAACAACAACAAAUCGUAGUUAAGACUUGUAUGAAUUUGUGUCUUUUUAAGUCAUGGCAGUGUAUGCAUUUUGACAACCCUUUAGUGGUCUGAUUAAUGCUAGUCUUAUCGAUUUUACUCUGUGUCUAUUAUCGACCUUUUAAGGUAUUGCAUAUAUAUUGCGUGUCAGGUCUAUUGCUAGUAUUCUUUAUAUAACACAUAGUUUAUUAUCGAUCCCAUAUAAAGUCUAUUAAAAACCUUAAAGUAUUCACAGGGACUGAUGAACAAUUGAGCAUUUAUUACACAUCAAAAAAGCUGUUGCACGUCCACUCACACCUUGCGUCGAUUGGGUAUACGCUACCUCUUCGAAAUCCAUGCGUCUACCUACCAUUGGGCGGGAAGACCAAAGGGUUCUAUUUUGGUCUAUAUAAACACCCAUCUAAUAUACCCAAAAUUCAUCUUUAUCAACAUAAAAAAUAGAUUAAAUCAACAAGAUGCCAGGCAUUCCAUUGAGACCAAGAAGGAGGAUCCAGCGUAGCUACGACCUUCUCCUCCCCCGUAACGACCUAGACCGUCUCUUCUAUGGUCUAGGACAGGACAGGGAGCACUUCCACCGCGAACUCCAGCGUAUCGCUCGUGAGCGGCUCAACAUAGAGCCCGAGGAGAUGCACCCCCCCCCCCCCCCCCCCAAAUCUCUUUAGUUUAGGUUUUAAUUUCUGUUAUUUUUUUUUGUUUUAAGUUCAUUGCAAUAGGAAGCUUUCAUGGUUGGGAAUAUGUUAGAUGAAAAUUUCUUUAUUUUGUUGUACAUAUGGUUCUACACCAUUGCAAUGAAGUAUCUUGUGUUUCCUAUAUUUGUCUCCUCUUUAAUUUUUGCAAUUUUGUUCUUGUUUGAAUGUUUGCAAUUUCCCCUGUUAGAAGAUGAAACAAACUGUUGUGAGAUGUGAAAAUUAAUUCAUAUAUGAUAAUGAAAAAUGAAUCUGGUCAAUUCGGGGUUAUUUUGCUGUAAAUAUGGUGCUAAACCAUUGCAAUGAACUUAUGAAUGGAAUAUUUUCAUGUUUCCUGCAUUUGUCUCCACUUUAAUUUUACAAUUUUCUUCUUUUUUGAAUUUUUGCAAUUUACCCUAUUAGAAGAUGAACGAAACAGUUGUCAGAUGUCAAAAUUAAUUCAUAUAUGCUAGUGGAAAAUGAAUAUGGUCUAUCCACAAUUAUGUUGAUUUAUACAAAAUUAAAUACAAAGUCGAUGUAGUUUAUUAUUUACGGAGCUCAAUAUCUAUGCGUGAACAUCUACGUAAUCGAUUCAUUCCACUAUGAGGUCUAUCGAUUGUAUCCAGUGUAUAUCAUAGAUGGUAAGCCUUGUCAAUAAUAUACCGUAUUGGUUUAUUGCCCUUAGUAGCAUAUUUGGAAAAAAAGGAAAUAAUUUCUCGCAGCUGCUACGUCCAACAACAAUUUCAACUUUUUUUUGCUGCUAAAUGUUUGAUUUAGCUGAAAAUUAGUUUCGUUGGAGAAGGUGUGGUUGGUUUGUGCUCCCAAUCCGCACUCUUCUCCCGCUUCUUCAGAGAGAAUUGGAUCUUCCAAUUCCAUUGAAUGCUCUUCGGAAUUCAUUGGAUGAACAUCCAAACUCUCAUCUUCAAAUUAAUCAUGUUCAUCGAUUGUCGGCUAUGGUGGCGAGAUUGUCGGAGACCCCGGGACGACAUUUAUCCUCAAUAAUGGCCUAGAGCCAUCGUCAACGACAUCCAAUACAUAUAACGACACAUGGCGAUCUUUCUUAGUGAACAUGGGAUGUAUUUUACCCCGCUCAUUCAUUACAUAGCUAGUCACAACGUUCUUUGGCUCGCAAUCUAAUUCAUCGCUCUCAAUUACGCUUUGAACCAUGUCGUCGUACGAACCAUUGCGAGGCAGCGGGAUGGGCAUUGUCUCCUUGCUAGAUGAUUUUCCACUUCCAAUAGUUGGGACCCUCCUUCCACACACCCAUAUAAUUACCACCCACGGCAAUUUCCUCAGCUACUGCCAUAAUAAACCACACUAAUCGAUAAUAGAUUAAGGUAUCGGUCUAUAGCAAGUCGAUCACUGGUAUGAAAAUGUCCGUACAAAAAUGUGAAUGGACCGAGUUUUGGAUAUAAUCAAUGUCCUCCUAGCUCUGGGAUGGACAAAUGUAUGUGUAGGAUUUCUAAACUACUGAAAUAUAUCUAAUGACGAGGUAUUGAGCGGAUUUGAAAAAUUUUUCAAGCUUGUAAAAAUGGUGAAAAGAAUAUUUUUUACAUUUCUUUUCAAAAAGGUUGGAACAACAAUGGAGGCAAUGAUCAAAAAUGGAGAUUUUCAGUUGUGAUGAGCAAUUUUUCGGUGGAAAAGUCGCCGGAAUCGGAAAUUAUUGGUGAAAAAGGGAGUUCCUAUUGGUGUCUUCUUGGAUAAUUUUUUUAAUUAAAAUAGGGAAAAAUGGUGGAAAUAUAAAAAAUGAUGGAAAAUAUUAAAUGAAUGAGGUGGGGGACUAAAGUGUAAAGUUUAAAACUUGUGUUUUGGGUUUGUAUGUAAGAAGUAAUGAUGUCAUUUUAGUGUCUAAACACCUAAUUUUCCAAGACUUGUGUCUAAAUAGCAAAAUAAGUUUUGAAAGUGUCUAUUUUGCAAACUACCCCACUUUGUGUAGUGAGAGUUAGCCUGUUUUCUAGACAUCAUAUACCAGUAUUAUUUAGAAAAUAUGUAUUUCAUUUGAAGUUUUAAUAGAAAUUAGCUGACUCAGCUAAAACAAAUUCUCUCAGGUAUGCCGAUAUUGCCAGCAGCAGCCUGGAAACUCAACAUGUUCUGUCUGUCAAUCACCAGAAAAUCUGUGGAUGUGUGUUAUUUGUGGUUUUGUUGGAUGUGGAAGGUAAUAAUACUCUCUCUCUCUUGUAAUUUGACCAAUUCUAUUUGAAGUUUGAUCUUCUUAUACAAAAAUAAUUAUGAGGGUUAAAAUCAUUUGCACCCUUAACAUUCCUUUAAGAAUUAAAUUCCUCCAAGUUUGAAUAGUAGACGUUUGUCCCCUUAUAUCAUAAUUGAGUAUUUUAAGUGUAUCAUAAUUGAGUAUUUUAAGUGUACCCUCUAUGUUAUCAACAUUCUCUUUUCUUUUGCAUUUUAAAUAUCAUGAUGUUUUUCUCUUUUCUAAAAUCUGUGUUAUGGACUUACAUACUCCCUCCGUUCACUUUUACUUGUCACUAAUUUCCUAAUUGAAUUUUUAUUUUUACUUGUCAUUUUUAUUUUUAUUUUUUUACAUAUCAACAAAAAUAUCAUGCAUUUUUUUUUCUAUAUAUACUGUCCUUUGUUCCCAGACCCCACUAAGUGGGAAUACACUGGGUUUGUUGUUGUUGUUGUACUGUCCUUUGUCUUGAGCCGGGGAUCUAUUGGAAACAACCUCUCUACUUCUUUAGAGGUAGUGGUAUGGACUGCGUACACUCUACCCUCCCCACACCCCACGAUGUGGGAAUAUACUGGGUUUGUUGUUGUUGUUGUUGUUGUUGUACUUGUCAUUUUUUACAUAUCAAGAAAAGACAACUUUUUUUCCUAUUUUUCCUGUAGCAUUAAUUUUUUUUUCUCCAAAUUAAUUUCAAGACAUAAUUUAAACAUCAUUUAAUAGGGGUACUAUGGUAAAAUAACCAUGUUAUUAAUUGUUUUUCUUAAUAGGUGUGUCAUCUCAAUCUGUGACGAGUAAAACUGUACGGAGGGAGUAUAUACUAAACAUCUCUCUUUUUUUUUUCUCAAGGGGAACAUAUCUCAUUUGCAAAGUGAAGAAAACAAAGUAGUAAUCAAGCAACAACAACAAACCCAGUGUAUUCCCACACAGUGGGGUCUGGGGAGGGGAAAAUGUACGCAGUUCAUACCACUACCUCCGGAGAGGUAGCAAGGCUGUUUCUGAUAGACCCCCGGCUCAAGACAGAGAAUAAUAAACAAGUUCAUAAUAAAAGCAUGAAACAAGAUGGCACAACAGAUAUAAGACACCCACACAUUAAUACCCUGCACUAACGUACCAAAGGCACCCCCACAUGCACUAGCCUUCUAUCCUAAUUCGCGUCUUCCACACCUUCCUAUCUAAGGUCAUGUCCUCGGUAAGCUGUAAUUGCUCCAUGUCACGUCUAAUCACCUUUCUCCAAUACUUCUUUGGCCUACCCCUAUCCCGCCUGAAGCCAUCCAAAGCUAGCCUCUCACACCUACGAACUGGGGCAUCCGUGUCCCUCCUCAUCACAUGUCCAAGCCAUCUCAGUGGAACUUCCCGCAUCUUGUCCUCCACCGAAGCCACUCCAACCUUCUCACGGACAGUCUCAUUCCUAACCCUAUCACCCCUAGUAAGCCCACACAUCCAACGCAACAUCUGCAUUUCCGCCACCUUCAAUUUUUGAACAUAAGAGUUCUUGACUGGCCAACACUCCGCUCUGUACAACAUGGUUGGCCGAACUGUCACUCUGUAGAACUUGCCUUUCAGUUUGGGUGGCACCUUCUCUUCAUAUAACACUCCCGAGGCGAGCCUCCACUUCGUCCAACCUGCCCCAAUACGAUGGGAGAUAUCCUUAUCAAUCUCACCAUUUUCCUAAAUCAUCGACCCGAGAUACUUAAAACUAUCCCUCCUACAAACAACCUGGGACCCCAACCUCACUACCCCGUCGUCCUCCUGUCUCAAGUCAUCAAACUUGCAUUCCAUAUACUCAGUCUUGCUCCUACUCAACCUGAACCCUUUAGACUCAAGGGUUUGUCUCCAAACCUCCAAUUUAUCAUUCACACCUCCCCGCGUCUUAUCAAUCAAAACAACAUCAUUUGCAAAAAGCAUACACCAAGGCACCUCACCUUAAAUACGCCGCGUCAACACAUCCAUCACCACCGCAAACAAAAAUGGGCUAAGAGUCGAUCCUUGAUGCAACCCUGUUAAAACCGAAAAAUGCUCUGAAUCUCUUCCCGCUGUCCUCACUUGAGUCUUUGCUCCCUUAUACAUGUCCUUAAUCGAUCUGAUGUACGCCUUCGGGACACCACUCACCUCCCAAGCAUCUCCAAAGCACCUCCCUAGGGACUUUGUCGUAUGCCUUCUCCAAGUCGAUAAACACCAUGUGCAGGUCCUUCCUUUCCCUAUACUGCUCCACCAGUUUCCGCACCAGAUGAAUUGCCUCUGUCGUCGAGCGCCCGGGCAUAAAUCCAAACUGAUUCUCCGAAAUACACACUAUCCUCCUCAACUUCCGCUCGACCACUCUCUCCCAAAUCUUCAUCGUGUGACUCAACAACUUAAUGCCCUUAUAGUUGGUGCAACUCUAGAUGUCAUCCUUGUUCUUAUAUAGAGGAAUCAUGAUACUCCAUCUCCAAGCCUCGGGCAUUUUCGCAGUCUUAAAGAUGCCGUUAAACAACUUCGUCAACCACCUUACACUUCCAAAAAUCCACAGGAAUCUCGUCCGGCCCCGUCGCCUUACCCCUCCUCAUCUUGUGAAUAGCCUCGCUGACCUCCUCAUCUUAAAACGCCUUCAAUAGCUGAAAUCACGACACCCCUCUGUGUGCUCUAGCUCCCCUAACACAAUGUCCCUGUCCCCCUCCUCAUAAAGAGAAUGAAAAUACGACUGCCAUCUUCUCUUAAUAUGCACGUCUUCCACUAGCACACUACCAUCCUCCCCCUUAAUACACUUCACUUGAUCAAAGUCCCGCCCCUUCCUCUCCCUAGCCUUAGCAAGCCUAAACAACUUUUUUUCUCGACCUCUCUCUUCUAACCCCUCAUACAAGCUCUUAAAUGCUGUCGUCUUCGCAGCCGUAACUGCUAACUUGGCCUCUCUCCUAGCUAACUUGUACUCCUCCCUAUUUACGCGCUUAUCUUAUUCAUCCUUACUCUCUACCAACUUAGCAUACAUCCCCUUCUUAGUCUCCACUUUCUUCUUAACUUCUUCAUUCCACCACCAAUCCCCCCGAUGCUGACCACCCCGGCCUCUCGAGACACCCAACACCUCUCUAGCCAUCUCCUUGAUACACCUAGCCGCCCUAUCCUACAUACCAUCCAUGUCUCCCCUACACUUCUACACCCCAUCUCGGCCACCUUAUCCCCUAUCUCCAGCGCACUCACCGGCGUCAAGCCACCCCACUUAAUCCUAGGUCGGCCCUCCCCACCCCUUCUCUUCCUAUCCUUUUUUAAACCCAGGUCUAUCACCAGAAGCCUGUGUUGGGUCGAAAGGUUCUCCCCAAGCAACAGAAAGUCAAUCUGGGUCUUGGCUAUUGCGCUUCGGAAGGUGAUCAGGUGAUCCUCCUUCUUCGGAAAGCUCGAAUUCACUACCACCAUCCCAAAGACCCUCGCAAAAUCCAACAGAGCCACUGCCUCAUCAUUUCUCUCCCCAAAACCAUACCCACCAUGCACAUUGCCAUAGCCUCCCGGUAACACCCAUAUGUGACCAUUAAAAUCCCCUACUACCACAAUCUUCUCAGAGCUAGGCACGCCUCUCACCACCUCGUCCAAAGCCUCCCAAAACCGCUUCUUCUCCUCUCUGUCCAAGCCCACUUGUGACGCAUAAACACUACACACGUUCAGCGUACACCCCCCUCCCCCAAUGACCGACUUAAUAGACAUCAACCUAUUAUUGAUCCUCUUCACCUCCACUACCUACUCUCUACGUUCUUCAUCUACUAAGGUGCCUACUCCAUUCCUACGCUUGUCGCUUCCCGAGUACCAAAGCUUGUAUCCAUCCACAUCCCUAGCCUUAGACCCUACCCACUUAGUCUCCUGGACACACGCAAUAUUAAUCCUCCUCUUUCUAAGAAUCUUCACAAGCUCUAUGGACUUACCCUGAAGGGUCCCUAUAUUCCACGACCCAAUCCUCAGCCUACCGUCGCUACCCGCACUCCCUCCACUACCCUCCCUCGCGGCCAAACCUUGGCCUCCCUCCCACUCCCGCCCUUUCCUCAUCCUCCGCCCCCACCACGGCCCCCAACCCCAACCCCUUCGGACAUGACCCUACCCUAUCAUCAACGCCCAAAGCCACUACUCAAAAAGAAAUACAAAGAACGAUAGAAACACGAACAAAAACAGAACACAAACAAGAACUACUAGCAGUAAAUAUAUAGCACACUGUCAGGUCCAAAUACAACAAAUCAAAAUAAAAUAAGAAUGCAAGACAAGUCACCAAUCCAAUUUAGCAGGCAAUCCUAACAAAUUAAAGCAAGUCAAGAUACGAAAAAUAAUACGCGAAAGUAAAUAGCAAAGGUCGGUCGCUUGUAACCGGAUCUGCGUGUCGACUUUGUCGCCGGAGUCGAAGUCUAGCCGACGGGGACCUUAACCCGCCGGCGAAAGCGGUGACGGGGAGAUUAGGCCAAAGAAGUAAUCAAGCAUAUAAAUUAAUUGGAGGCUAGUUAUGGAUGGUUUUAGGCGGGGUAGAGGUAGGCCAAAGAAGUAUUGGAGGGAGGUGAUUAGGCGUGACAUGGAGCAAUUACAGCUUACGGAGGACAUGAUCCUUGAUACGAAGGUGUGGAGGAACGUUUUGUUUGUAGCUGUGCUGUAGUUUCUUGUAGUCUCUUGUUCGUGGUGUUUUGGUGAUAUCUAUGUUUUUCAAAUAUGUAUUUUAUAGUAUUACCUUGUGGGUGUCUUGUUUCCUUUAUUAUCUAGCGGUGUGAUAUCUCAUACCCCACUUGGUGGGAAUACACUGGGUAUGUUGUUGUUGUUGUAGUGAUGAGAAAACUGAGCAGAAUAAAAAAAAAUAGAAUUAAAUAAUUUAUUUGUAUCAGUAAUUUCUGCAUUCCUUCUUUCCUCUGUUUUAUAUUCCUUAUGGGUGCGGUAUCUAUGUUAUGUCAUCUGCUCCUGUGCUGUACUAUGUGUUUGUGUGAUAUCUCGUGACUUGAGCCGGGGGUCUUUCGGAAACAGCCUUUCUACUUCAUCAGAGAUAGAGGUAUGGACUGCGUACAUCUUACCCCCCCAGACCCCACUAAGUGGGAAUACACUGGGUUUGUUGUUGUUGUAUCAGUAAUUUUAUUAAAUAGAAAUUGAAACUAGAAAUUUGUUUACACGAUUGAGAAUAAGAGAGGAUGAGAAAUUCAUAAGCAUAUACCCAUGCAGGUAAUACAAAAAUAUAAUUAUUAAAAAUGGAGGUACAUUUUAUAACAAAUUCCUAAAUAGUACUAUCUAUUUAUACUUUAAAUGAGUUUUUAAGUUGUAACUUAGAAAAUAUUUUGUCAACAACAAUCCAAACUCAAAAUUUCUAUAAACAUAAUAGAGAAUUUAAGAGAGGAAAUGGUUGGUUGAGCUAUAUAAAUAAUUUUGAAGACCUAAAAGACGAAUGAUCUUUUUGACUGCUAGAGAAGUAAUAGGUUUAGUUAGGGAUGUUCAUCAUGCUGAUUUUUCUAUAGAUACAAAGAAGCUCAUGCUACAAGGCAUUGGAAGGAGACACAACAUUGCUAUGCACUUGAAUUGGAAACUCGGCGUGUCUGGGACUAUGCAGGGGACAACUAUGUUCACCGUUUGAUUCAGUCUAAAACUGAUGGGAAGCUGGUUGAGCUCAACCACCAUUGUCAUCAUGAUAAUGAUGGCUGCUGCGGCUGCAAAUGCGGUGCAGAUCCUGAAUUCAGUGAAACUAUUUUAAACAGCAAAGUUGAAGCUGUACGCCUCUCUCGUCAUUUGUAUUUUUUUCUUGUUUACUCUUUUUUCAUCUAUUCAAAUGUUUAAGUUUUGGAUUGCUUUGGUCAUUCUGCUAUUUCAUUUGGAACCCUUGGUAAUCUUCAAAUUUUCUAACUGCAGAUUGUAAACGAGUACAAUGAGCUCCUAACUUCCCAACUGGAGGACCAAAAAAUGGUUAACCUUUUUACUAUAGUAUAAGUUUUCUUUAUUUUGCUGAUCUGAAUGUCACGGAAGCUUUCACGUCUGGUUACUCAUUUGAAUGUAGAAAUAUUGUUUAGUUGUUUAGAACGAUUCAUUCUAUUUACCGUACUAACGGUUUCUACUUUUGAUCAUAGUACUUUGAGUCCUUAUUGCAAGAGGUUGAGGAAGAAAUUGCAAGGGAAACUAAGGAAGCUGUUGAGAAAGCUCUAUGCCAGAAUCAAAGGUUAACGAAGUUAAAAGUUCGCUUGGACAAAUGCAUUGAAGAGAAGAAAUUUCAUGAUGAUGUGAGUUUUGUUGAAGGGAAUUAAUCAUUAUUCAUCUCUAAGCUGUUACCAGUUUAUCAUCAUUUAGUCCACAUUUCUUUUUUUUCUUACACCAUUUGAUUUUUGUUGAUUUUGUUUUGAACCUGAAUCUUUUGGUGUUGAAUUCUCUAGAUCAGUGACAAUCUUACGAAAAACAAGGAGAUAUGGGAAGCCAAGAUACUGGAAAUUGAAGAAAGGUAUUACCUUUCCUUUGUUGUCAAGAUUGGUUUGGUUUUCUAGCAAAGUUGAUGUACUCUAUGCGUUGUAGUUUCUUACGAGGAAAAGCUGGACUCUUCAUAGGGCAGAGCUUCUUCUUCUUCGUCGUCUUCUUCUUCUUUUUUUUUAGUUAUUAUUGCCGUAAACAGAGUCUCUUGCAAAAAUGCAUGGUAAAGGUUGCGUACAAUAGACCCUUGUGGUCCGGUCCUUUCUUGGGCCCUGCACAUAGAGGGAGCUUUAGUGCACCGGGCUGCCCUUAUUUUGUUGUUCAUGUAAUGGAUGAUCAAGUACUUCUGACCAACUUCACGUGCAUUCAUCCACAACUGCUAAAUUACUUCCCUAUCUUGUCAUGUAAUAUCCUAUUUUAUCUUUUAACAUCCAUCUUCUAGGGAGAAGAGGGCGCUAAAAAUGAAGGAUGAGAAGAUAUCCGAAUUGGAGGAAGAGGUAAAUUUGACAUUGCCUAUCAAUUGGAUUCAGUCAACUGGAGUUGCUUACUUUAGUUUCCUGAGUAAAUGUGAUUGCUAUUAUGUUUGGGCUGCAGAUUGCGACUUUGAUGGCAUCCAUCGAAACAUAAGAUGCAUUUAAAAGGGAUGCCAUAGUCAAAUGAUGAAAUGAAGGAUAAGAUCAGCUUCAAUAUCAGACAAUUCCAUUGGAUUGACAAGCCUACCUGUAUUUGAUGCCUCUGGAAAGAGCAGUGACAACGAGGCCUCGAAGUCAAGUGUCAGGAAAAGCAAUCGGGGUUCCUUGAAUAGAGUAUGAGUAAUAGGCGCUGUCCAGAAAACUCUUGUGCAACCACCUCAAUUAAAAGUGGUUACAGAUUUUUGACGGUGAUUUUAUUAACCUUCUUUUAGUCUUGAGUGUCAAUUUUCGGCCUGUUUGUUUCAAUGAGUAGCUGAUUUGAUACUUUAAACCUGUCCUCGUGCAUUGCUCGACACUCAGGAUUAAUUCUCUGCAGUUUCAACCUUUUUGGGGGAUGAGACUUGGGAAUCAGAUAGUUGUUAUUUAACUUGAAUUGGGAAGGGUGGUUGGGUAUCUUAACAGUGAUAAAUAUCUGCAAUGCGCAUGUGUUAACAGUAGAUGAAUCAGAAUGCUGCAAUGCGCAUAAUGACAAUGAGGUGGCAUGGCACAUCCCAGAAUAGUGCAAAGAAACUCCUGCGCGACUGGAGAAGGUGAAAAUUUACUUUGGGGGAAAAUAGUUGCAAAGAUUGAAGUUCAUACGCCUAUUAGUUUAAGGAUAUGUAAUGGUAAUAAAUAAUGAUUCUUGACAACUUUUUCCUCAAGAAAAAUAUCCUCCUCAGAUGUAAAAGCAGCAUCCCCCGAAAACUUGGCAAAUCAGUACUAACUUCUUGACACUUCUGGUGAUAGAACGCGUGAUGUAGACAACAACAAUUGGCCUUCUAUUCGGCCAUGGUUUCUCAGGUAAAAGAACAAUAAAUGAUGGAAAGAGCCACUCGCUGCACUUUUCUACUAGAAGAAUGUACAGAGAAAAGUUAUCUCCAUUCUUUAUGUGGGAGAUAACAUAACCAAUGGUAACACAAACUAGUAAAAAAAGCUUAAGAAUCGAUGAAGCUAAAAACUAAAAGCUCUAAAACAGAGCUCCAAACUAUCAGCAAGACUACCUAAAGAUUGGCUACCUUCCGAGUAAAUUUUGGAAAGAUAUAAAUAAAUCCCGAGGAUGCUGCUUGACUUGAAAAAAGCACCCUAUUGAUGUUGCAGUUGCUCAACUAAAAUUCUAUUGAUGAAGGGUGACAUAGCCGCUAACAAUGCCUUGGGACACUCCUCAUGAGGAAGAUGACCACAUCCUGAUAUUGCAACCAGUCUCUGUAUGUUAAAUAGACACAAAAGUUAAUAGCCUGAGACUAGUAGUAACUUUAUGCUUUUAUCAGAAGCAGGCUCAUAAAAUGUUGUCUCAAUUUUCAUACUCAGAUGGUAUAACUAGUAUUUUAUUCACUACACAUAUUGAAAGGGUAUUUCAACAGAAUAAAAGUGUCAUUCAGGACAUCAUUGCAACAAUUAGAAGCCAGUAAAGAAAAUCAAAACUGAUCAAUUUCUGCUAUCAGCUCAAUUAGCCAACAUCUUUGGCGAUUAUCACCACUUUGAUAACAUUUUUUCGGACUCGAUGGAUUUCCAGUUUAAUUUUCUGCUUUAUAAAUCAAUGUUCGGGGGUUGUAGUGGCUCAAUGGCAGAUGUAGUCCCAAUUUUCAUUAGUUUCUAUUGAAUCAAUUCCAUUCAACUUAGUCACAAACACAAUAACAUUUAAAAGUUUCAUGCUAAGAGGUGUGUUACAGAUGAGUAAAAUCAUAUAUGAAGCGAGAAAACUCAUACUAGGUGGUGUUUGAUUUAAGGUAAAAAUAGUAAAAUAACUGAUUAAGAUUUAAGGGUGCAAUCAGUUUCACUGAUCUAGAUCAAGUAAGCCAGCUUGUAUUAGAGUUAAAUAAUGACAUACAGUAGAGUGCAGAGAUGGAUAUAGAGAGAUUAAGAUAACUCACAGAAUUUACAUGGACAUAGAGAGAUUAAGAUAACUUACAGAAUUUACAAGUUUUGAAGCCAUAGCUUGAACAGACUUUAAAGGUACAACUGCAUCUUCAGCUCCCCCAAUCACCAAAACGGGUAAACAUUCAACUGCUUUUAGCAGUGCUGUUGCCUUUUCUGGGGAGAGGACUGUCUCGUAUGAUUGUUUCCCUAUCUCAUGGAGUGCUUCAUCCCAACCUUCCACACAUAAUGGUGCCUGAUUACAUACACAAGCAGAUAGGAUUAGGAUUGGAAUAUGUUACUUAUAAAAAGUGUAAAGAUGCCGAAAGAAGGGACGUGUAAACUAUUGGCAUCUUGUAUGCCCAGAAGUGGCAAGUACUUCCUUCUUGACGAUGAAAUUUAUUACACACAUACAUAAGGCAAUCCUGAAUUGUUAAGAGGCUGAUCUUCUAAAACUUUUCCACAAUGGUUUCAGCUCAUCCAUACCAAAAGUUGAGCCCUCAAUAUAUGCUAGUUUUUCUGAUCAUUUAUUGUUGAGUGGGGGUUAGGAGGAAAAAAGGAAAGGCGGUGAAGGGCAGAUAAUCACACAAAGUAGAAGCUCCUUGAGCAUGAAUAAGUAUAAUGAACUGAAUCAUCUAAUAAGUGUGCAGAGCCAAAAAAACAUCCAAGAAAAGAUAGAUGAAACUGUUAUCUGCCCUAUACCUCUUUUUGUCUUUCUUCCUAACUUCCACUGGAAACAAAAAUAUUUAGAAGUAGCACACCCGAAGAGUCCUAAUUGAGGAGGCUAUGAUAUCAUACACAGAAUACACAAAAUGUAGAUAUGAAAUUUAUAGGGAACACAUUUAGAUGUAUCUUGUCUAUCAGAUCAGACAAAAGACUAGCACACUCAACAUUUCAAGAAUAAGAACACAUACCUUGUAUAAGCUCAAAACCUCAGUUGUCAACUUCGUUGUGUCAUACCAUGCUCGUCUGUUAACAACUUGAGUAAUUUCUGUUCGCAAAAGAGGACGCACCAAGUGCUUUUUUCCAAGUGAUGUGCGCAAUAAUACUCUUGCAAAGGCAGGCACCAGUUCUCUUGACAGGCUAACACCCAAUAAUACAACCCCCUUGAUCUUAACCUAAUAUAGAAGGCAAAAGUAGUAAAAUAGUCAAAGCAAUGAGCAAUUUUCCAACCAUAGUAUAUCAGCUCUUGACAUUCAAAACUAAGGGUACACAAGAUUUCACGUCACUCUUCUUCAACAAGGAUGAGAAAUGUAUAAGAAUAAGCAAAAAAAGCGGGCUACUGACAUAUUUUCUCAAGAUUGAAUCAUAAUUUUCACCAGGAUACCAAUUCAUUCGGUGUUAAUAGCACUCAUGGCAACUAAAACAUGUUAAAUCCCACACCCCGAGCACUCACAUUAGUAAAAUUUGUGGAUGACUGGACUCUUUGUGCAGCCAUUAGUGCAAGCAAUCCACCAUCAUCAUGGCCAACAAGUACAACUGAAGUAAAACCCAUCUCUGAACAGAAGGACAGAAGCAGGUCAACCUGACAAGUGAAAAUUCAACUGUCAGAAAAGAAAAGCCUAGUCAUUUAAAAGGAAAACAAUAGCCUCUAUGAUCAUUACAAGUAUAUGUCCAAAUGAAAGACAACUAUAUACAAUUCCCUACGUGUAUUGUAUACAUGCAUAUGCAUUAAACACAUAUAUACAUAAACUCCUGGAAUUAGAACCUUGAACUCGCUGUUUAACAUAUGUGCUAAAAUUUAUAGACUCAUUCUUUUGGUUUCAUGCCGAAAAUGGUCCACUGAAACAUAAAAUUGAAGAGUGAGACAUUACCUGAGCAUCAAUAGUGUAGGGAUUGGGCAAAUGAUCCUCCUCCCAGUCUGUUCGGAAAGGCCUAGAUGUCAAUCCCCAUCCUGGCCUGUCAAAUGCAGUGACUACACAACCUACCUGUUGAGCUAGUACUCCCAUCACAUUUCUCCAAGAGAAGACUCCACCACCAAAACCAUGCACCAGAACAAUUCCAAACUGAUCAUUACCUUCCAGAUCUUGUAUAGGAUGAGGAGACCCGGACCUAUCCACUGCAUCUGCCUCACCAACUUCAUCUAGGUUGAGACUAGGCAUUUCUACAGACAAGAGGGGGGAAGUCUGAAACCCAUCUAAUAAAGGUGUGGAUAGACAGUUUGCAGGAUAUUGACUACUGUAGCUCCUCCGAAUACAAUAGUCCACGUUUGAUAAAAGAGUCGGUGGCCUGUCUACACGGGCGGUGGAGGAUAACGAACGACAAGGUGAUCCAGGCAAAGUAAGUUUGUAAUGAAGAGUAAGCCCUAAGCAAGUAAUAAAUAAACUGUCAACAUCAGCAAGCAGUUUGGCAGGGAUUUCUCCGUCCUCUCGAGCUGAUCCUGCAAGUUUCCUCUUCAUUUCACUAUCACAUUUUGAUGCUUUCCCAGCAGAAGGAGUUGGAGACCGUGGUACUUUAUUGUAUGCAGAGAAAACAACUUUACAGGGAAGAACCUGUCAUUUCCAAUAAAUCAAUUGUUACAAACUUUAAGGUUCCAUUAAAUUGCUUCUUCGGUCAAUGAGUAAAUCAAAAACCGACAGCAGUGAUUAUCUUCACAUGGUUAACAUUAUCCUGACCAAAUCACAAGUACUGAAUUAGAUAGAUAACAUUUAAUCAGAACUCAAUCAGUUGGAGAAGUAGUUAGAUUCUUUCAAAGAAUAUCCAAACCAGAACAGUAUAGUAGAUGUCAUUGACGAUUAAAUGUGUCCAAGAAGUUAAGGUAACUACAAGGGGAAAAACAUAACGACUUACAGCUUCGGGGUCAAUUCGGUGAAACAAGAGUUUCCUCCUAGCUCGACAACUUGUUCUAUAGGCAACAACAAUAUGUCCAACAGCAAAGACUAUAGAUGAUAUAAACAACACUGGCAUCCCCCAUGACUUGUUCAAAUGAAGCUUUUGCUUUGGGAUAUACGAUGAAGCUUCAGCCUCCAAGUAUGAAUUGCCAGAGAAAACACUAGCCUUUACGGAAAGAAGAAUAAUGGACAUAACAGAACAGAAUGUAGCAGUUCCGAGAUAUGGUCCAUGUGAAAGAGCAGGUCCAUCACACAUAGAAUAAACACCUAUGAUCAAAUACUAAUAUGGAUUAGUUCCAGAGACAACAUAGACAAGAAACACAACCAAUAUAAAGUAUUCCUAAGAACCAAUUCCAAUUGAAUCAUAACACCAACACAUUAGUAACUAUAAUACCUAAACACAAAAUCGAUUAAAGAAAAAAGAUUAAAUCUCCAGAGAAGAAGAAGGGCAAGUUUAGGCGAAAAUGACUUAACGUCGGAGCUGGUAUGCUCACUCAACUAACUGUAUUAUCUCAAAAUUCAACUUUCUUCUUGGUUCCAAGUUUUCUCAACAAAGAAAGCGACUUUCUGAUACAAAAAAUUAUUACUUGACUGACUAUGUGAGAAAUUAACUCUUUCAAGUUUCUUUUUUUUUUUUGUUGAUAAAAGUGUUGUGUCUGGAACAGCUUUCCCGCACCUCGACUAAUCCAACGGCAUACAUGCCACCUCUUACUAGCAAGAAAUACCAAGUAACUCUAUCCACCAAGGCUAGGAAGGCUAGGAUAGAUGGAAAGAAAUCACCGAUUGUUUUUGUUGCAAUUAAGAAACAUAUUUCAAUAUGUUGCAAUUGGAGUUCCAACUCGAUUUCCCAACGCAAAGUACAUAUCAAACUCCGACAUUUAUACCUAAAAUUCCAUCUCAAAGUGGAAAAACUACAAAUGAAGUACUAAAACAAGAAGAAGCAAACAUGAACUUUAUAGGAUGCUCGAAAUCAAGUAACAUGACCACUAACUCGAAAAAGAAACUGAAACUGGAGUAGUAAACAAGAACGUACAGGAGAUGAUAAGAGAUCUCAGGAUUGCAACAAGAGGAAUAUCCAUCAAGGAAGUUGUGAAUGCAUAGCUUUGCAAAUGCUCUUUCAAACUGUAACACCUUACGCACGUAAAGCUAGAAAUCAACACAGUCGGUAGCAACACAUCCCCUAUUGCCACCAUCACCGGCGCCGAUAACAUCAGUAGCGACAACAACAUCACUACCAUGAAAUAUAUAGUCCUUAAACAUCUCCUUACUUUCUCCACCACUCCCUUCCCCAUAACAAACUACAAAAAAAAAAACAGUUUUCCUCUUGCCUCGACAACUACAAUUCGGUUACAUUUGGUGAAUAAUAUGAGAUCGUAGACGCAAUGAAAUUGUAGCAACUGGAGGAGACGGCGGCUCAACGGCCAUCUGCCGGCGGCGAAUAAAAAACGGUAAAUAUGGUGCUAGGGUUUAAGUUGUUGAAAGCUCAAAAGAGAAAAUGGAAAGUGUAAGCGUUUAGUUAAGAGGUAAUGAGCAGAAAUAUAUUUAAACAGAAACAGCGGACUGGGGGUUGUCGCCGGAGUGUUUGUACUAUGGUUUUCUCGCUCUUGUAAUAAUUUAUUAGUAGAUGCCUGGAUGAUCAAUUUAUAAAAUAUUCUACAUAAAAAUAUUUUAUAUAAAUAUUUUAUGCAGUUAAUAAACAUUUUUUUUUAGUGAAUGCAGUUAAUAAAUUUGACAUAUUAUUACAGGUUAUCAAUUUUUUAUAGAAAAUUUAAAAAAAUAAUUUGAUAAGUAAAAUAUUUCAUAGUAUACUGUAAAAAACUUAAAUUUCAAUUUAUUGUGUUUUUUUAAGUUUUAUUUCUCUUAUUUUUAACAUUACCACCUUUUAGUUUAGGCAAAAGACAUAACUCCUCUGCUUUGUUUGUAGUAGUAUCUUCUUUAUUUUGGUCUAGACUUUUUAAUUCUAUCCAAUUCAAUAAUUUUAACAUAAAAUUUUAUAUUUAUCUUAUGAAAUUUAUUGUAUUUAAAAUUAAAUUUACGAUUUUUUAUGAGGAGUCAAACUCUUAUCAACAAAUUAAAGAUUAAAAUAAUCGAACAACUAAGUUAUUUGUACCUUUCACUAGGACAUACUUGUUAAAGUAGAUUAGAAUUAUGUUGCAACUAUAUAUAUGGCAUCUUAAUUGUUGAUGGACUAUAUAUGGAGUUCUUUGGAGGCUAGAAUCUACAUGAAAAUAGGUGUAUAUUAUUAUAAAAGUAAAUGGCAGAUAUGCAUAUAUCUUACGCUUCUCAAGUUUUACUAUAUAGGGGAUUCUUUGUUCUUAUUUCACUUUUUUUUAAUGAAUGGAAAGAUAAAAAUGUCAAAAAAAAUUCUUUUCUAUUCUAUUCGUCAUGUAUGAAAAUUAUUACAGUCUAUUCUAUUCGUCCAUGUAUGAAAGUUAUUAAAGACUUGAAGUAAAUAAGUUGAUACCUUGGUUAGAAAAACAAAAGGAGUAAAACGAAAGUUUUUCUUUUUCUUCCAACAAAAGAAGUUGAAAGUGCUGGAAUUCGUUAACACUGGCCCAUUUACCUGCCUGGCAGCUUUUCUCUUCUUUUUUUUUUUUUUUUUUUUCUUUUCUUUCUAUUGAAUAUAAUGGUUGCCAUUAUCUUUGCUCGUAUCUUUUUGUGAAUUCCAAAGUUUGCUCCUUUACAUUUUUCCAUUCACGUCCUUUUCUUUUUCCUUUUUCUCCCUUCUUUGGCCAGAACUUUUCAAUGAUUAGCAGUUUAGUACCAUACUUUGAAACACAAAAGUUAUUAAAUUCACAGAUCUUUUUAUACUUCCUGUGUCGCAUUUCAUGUGGCAUUUUUUUUUUUUUUUAUCUUGAUACGAUAUAUUUUUAAAAGAAGUGUGUGUUUUAAAACAACUUUUAGAUAUUUAUCUGUUUGUGAAUUAUUUGAUUAAGAAGAGAAUUUUAAAGUUAAAUUGUUUCUGACUACAGUAAGGUGACACUACUUUUUAAAUGAAUUAAAAAAAAAAAUGUGUCACAUAAAGUGAAGCGAAGGGAUUAGUUUCUAAUAAAUGAGGUUGUUAAAGUAUUUGGUGACAAUGAUAAUUGGGUACUUGUAACUUAUAAGUUGUCUGAAUUUUAAAGAUAUAUUUUAUACUACUUAUUAAUUUUAAAAUUCAAAAUGGAUAAAAUUAAGAUUAUUAAUUCACUAGUAGAAGCAAUCUAAUCCGAUUCUUACAACGAAUUUCAGCUAGUAAAGAACAAGCAUCUUGUUUGGUGAUGAAUUUAAUAAUCAAAUUUUGAAUUUUAAACUUUUUUAAUACUCCUAGUAUGCUAUACUAAGUGGCUUUUGUCUUUUAUGAGUUUGAAUAACGACAUUAAUUAUUAGAUGCUUCAAUUGUGUUUGGAAGACACACCAAUUAUUGUUUAAGAACGAUUAGUACAAAGAAUGUUUGUUAAUGCUUUUCAUUUGCCAGGCUUGCAUUGCAUGGAUAUAUAAUAAAGUCCAUAGUUAACAGAGUGUAAGAAGCUAAGAGGGAAGAUCUACUAGUGAGAAGAGGGAGGAUGGAACACUAAUGAGAAAAUAUAAUACUUAAUUAUCUGCAUUCAGUGAGUGACAGAUACAGUAUUUUGAAAUUUAUAUAUUCGUAUAACAAUUUCAGUAAAUAAUGUAGGUAUUUAGUAGAUUUCUUAAACAUUGAAAAGAGAAGUAUACAUUAAUCAAAUAACCAAAAAUAUGUAUUACUCCCUCCUUUCGUUCGAAUUUACUUAUUACUAUUUUUCUAAUUUGAUUUUCAUUUUUACUUAUUAUUUUUGACAAAUUAAAAAAGACAAAAAAAAUUCAUGUUAAACCCUUAGUAUUAAUUACUUAUUUUUCAAAUUAUCUUUCAAUAUGCCUAUUACUAAACAUCAAUUAAUAGAGGUAAUAAUAUGAUAAAGUCAUUAUAUCCAUCAUUAUUUUCUUAUGGUCAGAGGCGGACCUACGUAUAGAGUAGGGGGUGUACGUGCACCCGCUAGCCCCAAGAAAAACUCUGUAUAUGUAGGUUGUAUAUCUGUAUAUAUACCAAUUAAUUUAACUAAAUAUAUGUUGUGUACCCUCAAAGAUAGUUUGUGUUGGUGCAGUGGUUGAACUUGUAGCAUAAAAUUUUUUUUUGGGUGGAGGACUUUGGUUCGAAACCCACCCAACUACAAUUGUUUUAUUACUCCCUUUUCCAAGUACAAUUUGCUGCAGCAUUUGCAUUAUUGCUGCUGUCUUCCCAGACAACAUUGACACACACAAUAUUUAUGUAUUUUUAAUUUUAUUCCAAAAAUACAAGCUCUCCUCCAAUUUCAAAAGGCAAAUUCCCCCUAUCUUAUACUAUAUAAUGUUUAUUUUACUUUAAUUUUUUAAUCAUUGACUUAUUUUGUAUUUAAAAAUUAGCAAUUUAAAGUUUGAAAUAGGCUUAAAUGCAACGUUUUCUCGUAGCAACCAUUUAGCAAACAAAUCUCUCAGAUUUUCUAUUUUUCAAAAACUCUCUAUUAUUGUUGAAAAUAUAAAAGUGCAUCAAAUUUAAGUAUGGUGAAUAAUACUCUUUUGUCAUAUUAAACCAAAUUAAUGAUAUUUAAUAAUAUUAAGUUUUCAAAGAACUAUAUGUCAAAUUUUGGCACUAUCAAUUAUUAUGUUUAAAUAUAAAGGUGCAUCCGUCAAACUCAAAUCCUGGGUUCGCUUUUGCUUAUGGUUGUGCUAUUUCAAAAAACGACUAGUAAAAACAAACGAAAAGAGUAUUUAAUUGGCUACUUGAACUUUUAUCUCAGCGGUAAGAAUUCGAUUUUCCAUCUAAUUACCCCCUCUCUCGUUUUUCCUUCCCCAACAUUCAAUUUUAAAGAUGAAAAAGAAUUUACACUAAAAACUAGUAUUGUGUUUUGACCCUCAAAUUAUAUAUUCCUAAUUAUGUUAUCAUGAUAUGAGGAACACAUGUGAAUAAUAUGUAAUAUAGUUUAGAAGUGAGAUAGUAUUACCAACACGGGUUAUGGUGUAGUGGAUGAGGUUGCUCCAUUCUUAAUUAGAGGUUGAGGGUUCGACCCUAGUAUGGAGAAAACUCAGUUGAGAGCGCUACCCCCCAAAUGGGGGCCCUACCCGGCACAAAUUUGGAUUAAUCGGACUUCAAUGCGGGUACCGGACACCAGAAAAAAAAAAAAAAAAAAAAAAGAGAGAGAGAGAAAGAGAGUAUUAGGCGGCAAAUGAGUUGAAAUUCAGUGGUGUAGAACGUGAGACCGUUAGUUUCGCAGAAGAUGGGGGUCGCCUGGUCGGGACCCGAAAUAUAUAUUUGUUGCCUUUAUCUUUUUUUUUUUUUUUUUUUUUUUUUUUUUUUUUUUUUUUUUUUUUUUUUUUUUUUUUUUUUUUUUUUUUUUUUUUUUUUUUUUUUUUUUUUUUUUUUUUUUUUUUUUUUUUUUUUUUUUUUUUUUUUUUUUUUUUUUUUUUUUUUUUUUUUGUAGACUUCAAUUUAUAAUUCGUUUUUAGUAUAUAAAUUUUAUUUUAAAAAAUUAUAGACGUAUUCAAAUUUGUACAGAACAUUAUUAUUAAGUGAUAACAAUUUUUUAUGAUUAUUUACAAAUAGAAUGAUAGGAGAACUUUGAACUUUUUUCAGAUUGCUUAUAUAAGAAAUUGAAGAAUUUUAAUGUGUCUGUCCCGUAAUAGGGACCAAAGUUCUCUGCAGUUGUUUUACCAAUUCAGGCCACAACGGCCAUAUCAAUAUCACCAAACUUUUAACUUUGGCUUCUUCUUUCUUUCUCUUUUCCUGUUUUGUUUCCCCUAAGACAUUUCAGGAAGAGUACACUUAUUACUUGGAGGACAUUUUAGGAAGCGUACACUUAUUACUUGGAGUAUUAAAAUAGUGAGAUAGUUAUGGUGAAGUUGUUGAGCUAAAACAAGUCAUUAUAUCGUAUAAUAUUAUUCGUUUUGGGUUAAGUUCAUAUAAAAUCUCUCACUUUUUACGAGUAUAUAUAUAUAGUACAAUGUCUAUAAAUUGUUCAAACAACUUGUCUUUCUUUCGCUAAUAUAAACAAUGAGUUUUACGUUAAGUAAGAAACAGAAGAUGGAGUUAAAGAAUAACGUGCAUGUCUUAUCUAAUUGUAAGGUGAAAAACAAAACGCAAUAUCAUAUAUUUCCACCUAAACUUGAAUCCAUCCACUGUUUCCCAAAUAUAUAUUGCUUUAUGUCUUUAAAUUACAAAUGUUUUUUUCCCUAACAAUUCAAAUUUCAAACUAAUAUAAACAAUUAGUGUUACUUUAUUAUUUUAGACUUGACUUGACAUCUUUUUAAACAAUCUACCUAACAUUAUUGGGGUUAAAUUGGACUGAAACAAUGCUUUUAAAAAAUAGGAAAUAAAAACCAGCUUCGCAGACAAAUUCGACAGAAUUUAAUAGCUUUGGUUUAAAUUAUAUAUAUGUGUUUAAAAAAAAACCCACCUAAUAUGCAUAAAUAGUUUAUCAAGAACACAAUAAAUUACAUUUCAAAACUCACAAUUCUAGCUCCACGUAUAGUAGCCCACUAGAGGUCAUUUAUACAGGGGAGAUAAUAUUGGGAGACAGAUAAGGAUUUAACUGGGACCAAAUGCCAGCUGACGAUAAAUCCAUUAAUUGAUACUUGAUAAUCUGAUAUUGCUUAUGCUGGCAUGGUCCUAUUAAUUAGUCUUUGUAUUGCUUCAUUCAUAAUACACAGUGACUCUUUUCAGUUUUUUUCCAUUGAGUAAUUAAUUUUAUUUAUCUACGACUAUAAAAUGAGCGAAGGUCCAUAGAAAACAACCUCUCUACCUCGUGAGGUAGGUGUAAGGUUUGAAUAAAUUCUGCCAUUCUAAUUCUCACUUUUAUGUCGUUAUUGUUGUAUAUAUGCCAAUUCAUAAUCUCCAUUUAUUUAAACAAAUUCAAAUUGAACUAUUGUUACAUAAUUAUAUAAUUGGAAUUUGGACUUUAAGGUCCCAGCGAAGUUAAAUCCUAACAGCCUAAUAUUUCCUAAAGACAAUAAGGAUCCAAACUUCGUAUGAAUGAUGUACAUUUUUGAAAGGUUUCUCCUUUAGAAUUGGAAGUCCCACCACGUUACCUUUGGGGAGAGCAGUUUCUACUUAUAAUUAAUAGACAAAAUUCUAGCAUGUGUAUUAUUAAACCCCAGCAGGGUAGUCCAAUAAUGUAUGCCCAGAUUCCUUCGUGUUUUAAAACCUUAACGAGACUUCUGAUUAAGAAUGGAGAAAUAUUUUGUAGUAGGGGUUGAAAUAAAUUUAACAAGAGACCCCUAGCUUCCAUGUACUUAGCUUCCGUUUGGUCUUAGAAUCUGAAAUUUAAAAGUUUAAGUUUUGAAGUUGUGUUUGAUCAUGUAUUUUACUUGAACAGAGAUUAAAAGUUUGGUGAGUGGAAGUCUCGAAAAACUAGUCAGAGCCAUUUUUUGGGAACUUGAAAAUAUUUGAAGAUUAGAAUCUAAAAUUUUGAAAAAAUCUCUUGGCUAAAAUCUGAUCCAAAAUCUAUGAUUAAAUGCUAUAAUAGUAUGCCACCAGCCACAUAAUAAUAACAAAAGAAAAGUUAAUUCUUUUAGAAUUUCAGUGGUUGACUUUCUAAGUGAUAAAAAUAUUCUGAAGUUUGUUUCUGCAUUGCUUGGCAUAUGGUGAGGCCUGAGAGUUUUGUUCAGUGUGUAGUUUCUUUCAUCAUCUUAAAAGCUUCAAAUUUUAAACUUUGGAUCUGAUUUUUUUGGACUUUUUCCUAACAUUUUCUUCUUGAUUUUUACAUGAAACAUUAAUAUUCCUAUACUGAUUUCUUUUCUUUCCUUUUUAGUCUUCUUCCUAUAUAAAAUUUGAUAUUCCCUACGUUUCAUAUUCGUUUUUAAUGUUACUAACUAAAAAUGUACGUCUCAACUUACAAAUUAACAAUAUUAGUUAUCAAGGUUAAUGUUAAGAUAGGCUUAGUCUUGUUUUUAAAUAAAGUACUACCUUUUAUUGUUAAGAGAUAAAAGAAUAAAAUAGUAGUAAAAGGUAUUUUUUUUAUUUAUGAUUUUGUAAGAGACGUAGAGAUAUGUGACGAUUAAUAUGAGAUAGCAAAAAUUGUUAGGGUUUUUGCCCUGAUUUUCUUACUAAAAUUAAGUUUUACUUUUUCUUGAAAGGAAAAUAAAAGUAACCAUAAAUACUUUUACUUUUCCUGAAAGAAAAAUAUAAAACUUUUUCAUAUUUGGCUAACCUCUAUCUAAAACGAAAAGUUUUGGAACUCUGUAAAUAGAAAUCCUUCUUUCUCAUACAAUAACACAGUAACAUCCACAAUGUAGUCAUUUACGAGUCUUGUCUCAAUGUAGUCAUUUACGAGUCUUGUUUAGGGAGAGAUUUUCUCCCAAUAGUUUUAUGUUUUCUUUAUUAUUAGGUUUUAUACGUAGGUCAAUUGAUGAAAUAAUAUAAUAAUAUUAGGCUUUUUAGUAUUGUUUUAUGUGCCUUUUGAAUUGUUACCAUAAUGGUUUGCAACCAAUUAGCUUCCACAUGAUGCCCUUUCGAUUUUGAACCCAACAAAAAUAGAUAAUUAAAUUCUUGUGACGAUUAAUAUGAGACAAAGAAAACUGAUAAUUAAAUUCUCUAUUCGGCUGUAUAUAAUAUAACGGCUAUCAAUUACUACAUAAGGACCUAGUCAUGAGAAUUCAAAUGUUAGAUUGUUAAUAAUAAGGUCUUGAGUUAAUUUAUCAAAACUAUGCUUUUAAAAUGAUGAUGUUAUAUUAAACAAUAAAGCAAUGUAAAAUCAAUGACUCCUACCUACCACGCAUGACAACUUCUUUUCAUAAUUUUUGUUGUCUCGAAGAUGAAAGGUGAGUACCACUCCACUUUAAUAGACUGUAAAUAAAAUUAGGUAGUGAAUAAACAUUCUAUAAAUGUUCUAAGGCUAUCUUUAUGAAUGAAAUUAAUUUAAUUUGUUCAACAAACAUUAAACUGCCGAAAGUUCUUUCUUAUGUUCCUAUUUUCUAGAAAUCCUUUUUUUUUUCGAUUACUGAAGCUGUAGCUACUAGCUACGACAUGAGUGUUUUAUUGCGUUUCAAAGUACAAAGUGCUAUCACAAUUGAAAUUGAGAUAUGUAAAAGUAAGACAUGAGUGUUGGGUUCGAAACUGAGAGAGUGUCAUACGGAAGUUCAUAGUUUGCUAAUUAUGGAAAUGAUAAUUUAGUUGAUAAAAAAAAAAGUUAAACUAAAAACAUAAUAUUAUUAAUAUGAUUUGAUCAACAGAUCUACAUAUUUGAAAAUCUAACAGCGAAAAACCAUUAAAUCUAUUGAGAGAAAUUGGGAGAAAUCUCUCUCUAAAUAAAACUCUUUAAAUUAUAUUGUGGAUGAUAUGAUGUUCUGACUUGACAAAAGAAAUCUUCAAUUUUAUUUAUAGAGAUGCAAAACCUUUUUUUAUUAAUUAAGAAAAAACUAAUAGGAAAGAGAUCUUUUCUUAAUAAGGAAAUUUUUUCUAACAAGAAAGAUAGUUAUAAUUCUGAUAGAAAAUCACGUAAAAUAGUAAAUUCAAGACAAAUCCUAACACUACGUGAUCGUAAUGAGAUGGUUCCAGAUCUGAGGUUGGCUAUGCGGGUGCAAGGGGGUUAAACUAGACCUCAUUCAAUUCAUCGAAAAUUAUACAAUAUAUAUAAAGUCAAUUUAUUUUUAUUAAAUAAAAAUUAAGUUUUUAAUCCUCUAAACACAUAUGAACUGCAACUCGACAGUCAAAAGGCUUGAUGUGUAGCCAUUGUUGUGAUUUAGAGACAUUCCUUUUACCUAUUUGAAUCUCGUUGCCAAAAGUUCUGAUUCCGCUCCAGUUUGGAAUUCCUUCACCCUCACAAAAAUGAGUCAUGCAAUAUGCAAAUCCAAAUUUAAUAAAGCCUUAAUACCAUAUCUGAUAAAGAAAUGAACUUUGAGCUCCAAGACCAUAUAAGGAGAUCAAGGACGCUUUAACCCAUCGAUGUGGGACUCCAACACUCACCGCACAUCCAGGGCUGGACAUCUGAAGUGUGGACAGUGGGGGGGCCGGCCAACAUUGGAAACAAUGAAUUGGGUGGGCCUGACUCUGAUAUCAUGAUAAAGAAAGGGGCAAAAUUCAGAAACAACAUACUUAUCCUCUUAAAUUAUGAUUUUCAUAGCAACAGUUUCAUAAUUACAUAAUAUACCAAGUUGUAUUUUGUAUUUUUGCAAACUGUUGCUACAAAAAUACAAAUAUAUCUAAUUUUUACUGCCCUUAUGAUGAUAUGUAUUUUGUAUUUUUGCAAACUGUUGCUACAAAAAUAUAAAUACAUACAAAUACAUAUGCUACAAAAUAUAAUUUGAUAAAAGUGUUGCUAUUUUUUAUAAUUUAAUACUUAAAGUAUGCUACUUUAUGUAUUUUUUUCAUAAAGAAAUGAAUUUUGGGUCUAACUCAACCUCAAAAGUUAGCUCAUAGGGGAGGGUUGCUCAAUACCACAUAACGAGACCAAGAACCUUUAACCCACCGAUGUGAGACUCCAACAAUAUCAAACAUCAAGUGAAUACGCCCCACCCUCACCCCCACCUCCACCCCCAGCCCCCCAAAAAAAGGAAAAAAAAGGAAAAUGAAGCGGAAAAAGUGACGAAUAAGUUAGAACUGUUGCAGCAUUGCUCUUAUAUGUAAAAUAAAUAAAAGUUUUAAUGAGUAGGCUAAGGUAGAUACAAAAAAAUAAUCUACUUUCGAGAAUGCAUUGGAUGUGUUUAGUAUCUCAUUCGGCAUUGACAAAAGCUGGCCAAGAUUUGAAAACAGGAAAAAGGAGAGAUGGGAAGAAAUUGUUAUGAGUUUUAAGCUAUACAUUGUUAAUAUAUAUUCUUAUAUUAUCAUAUCACAUUUAUUUGUCACGAUAACUUGUCUUAUUUUCAAGUGUAUAUAUCAUUAGGAUGAUUUGAAUAUGUCAAGAAUUUUCUUAAUAACACCCUUGUGAUGGGCCCUUCCACUGACCUUACGUAUAGCGGAAGCUUUAAUGCACCGAAUAACUUUUUUAACUUUAUAAUAUAUAACUAACUAAACUGAAAUAUUGGUAUUACUCUAGUACUUGGUGGCUAACAAUAUAUAUAGACCCAUGAAUGAUCAAUUAAAUGUUGUAUAGAUAUUUUUAGUGAAAUUUCUAUCCUUCUCAAUAGUGCUGUCAAAAGAAUGGAAAUCAAUGCCAAUAAUUUUGAUUCCUUGCAGAUGUAUAUAUACGCUCAGUUUUCCAUGCACUAUGUGACUAUGUCCUCCAUUUAGGAGUUUUGUUUUUUACAACCCAGCCUGCCUGCCUGCCUUUCUUUUGUUGGACAAAAUGACAAUGAAAAACGAAUUUCAAAGAUGGCUUGGAUGUAAAAUUAGAAUGAUUGAAUAUGGGGAGGUUGGAUCAGAGUAUACGUAGAACUUGCCCCUACUUUGAAGGUAGAGAGGUUGUUUUCGAUGGACCUUAGCUUAAGAAUAAAACAGUGUGAAAAUAUUUACAUAAGUGAAGAAGCCGCGAUAAAAUACUAUACAACAUACACAACAUGAAAAAAUCAUUCUGAACAAUAAUCAAAAUACAGAAAACAACAGACAGUAACCGAACUCAAAUGACAAAAAACUACAGGAGUAAUAAUGCUACAAAUGUCGGUAUGGUAAGGAUAAGUGAGAGAAUGCUCUACUACCUACUAAUCUUCUAUAUAUCCUAAUUUGUGUCCUCCACAGAAUCCUAUCUAAGAUCGUGUCCUUUGUAAGUAAGCUGAGACUAUUGUGCCGUAUCCUGUCUAAUCACAUCUCUCGAUACGUUUUUGGCUUAUUUCAACGGAGCUCCUGAUUGAAACCAUCCAUAUGAAAUCUAAAAUAGAUCUUGGUCCAACGACCAAUUUUCCUAAUCGACAAACCAAUCUGGGUAAACAGUUCAAAGAGAGUUGUUUAAAAAGUAACACACUUUAAUUUGCUAAGUUAUGAUUAGAAGGAUAUUAAUUAUGAUUCAAAAUUUACUAAGCCUGAUUUCACCAACUUUUUAGUGUUGCUCCCUUUUAGACACCUACAUAGGGUUAAUCACGUGUGUCACUGUUUUAAAUUUGGCCCAACUUCACAUUCAACUCAAAUGUAUAACGUUAAGUAGAAAAUAAAUUUGAAAGAAAAAUUGCAUGCAAGUUAUAAUUAAUUUUUGCAAAUUUCAGUAGAAACUAUCAGUCUGAAGUUUGAACUACAAAACACCCAAGGUUGAAAUUUCAGACCUCGGGUUUGAAUUUUAAUUCCAGGGCUGUAAUAUUUUCUAAAUUUCGACUAUGUUUUAAAUAGCGGUUCUAAAAGCGACUAUCGAGGCCCAAGUUGGAUGCAUGUUUUGGUAUAAAUCUUUGGGACUGUUUUGUUCAAGAGGCAAACUUCUUUUGGGCCUUAUCGUUGUAGUUACAGCUAUAACCAAACUAUAUACGCCCAAUUUGGAUAAAAUUGACCUUUCAAAGUCAUCCCGUUUUGGAAAAACACAAAUUGAAUUGUGGGAUCUGCCAUUGAUAACCCUAGGUGUGAUCCGUUCCCGCACUCUUCACGAAUGCGAUAUACUUUUUUAACACUUACAUAUAUUUAAAUAGAAUUUGAGAUCGCUUUCCUCGUGCGUUUCGGCUGCAGCAUUUUAAUGUUCUAACUGCAUCAUUUAGAAAGAGUUUUGUUGGUUGUUGACUUGUUGGAUCUGCAUUUACAUACCAACACCAGUGGAUAAUUUAUACUAGGACACAUAUUCUUUUAGUUUGUGUGUGAUUUGUAUGGAAAUUUUAUAUUUUAAGAUUGUUCAUACUUCUCUUUCAAAUUCCCACAUAAUAUAAUAAUAUUGAUUUAUGUUUCUCACCUACCAAAGUUUCCCAUAAUUUCGUAAUAGAAAUGUGUUCCGGGUUCCACUGCACGUUUGGUAAAGUUCAAAUUGUUUAAUCUAAACAAUUAUUGUGUCACACACUAAAACAAAGGGGAAUAUAUAAUUAUAUGAGAAAGUAAACGACCAUAAUCUUUGAUAACUAAAAUACUGUAUAUAUAUAAUUUCAUUGCACGAAAUCUCCUCUCCUAAAAUGAGAGAGACUAAACUGAGAUUAAAAAAUCACAAUGAUCAUAUUGUCAAGGGGCAAUGUAAUUUUCUUAUCCUGUCCAUCGACCAUCGACGGUUAAUUUUUUCCUCAAUUGUUUUUUUUUGGUGAAAUAAGGAAUAAUAAUUUCAAAAUAAAAUGUAAAAUUAUUCUAUUCGAUAUUUGAUUGAUAAAAUAUAAGAUUGUAAUGUGACAUUUGAUUUCUCUUUGGUUCACACUCGGUCAAACAAAGUUGCUGCCAAAAACUUUUUGGAAGAUUAUUUUUGGAUUUAUCAAACAAAGUUAAUACCAAAAAUUUUGUUGUAAAUUUCUCACUUCACGUGCAAAUGUUGAAAUUUAUAUCUUCCAUUAAUAUCAUUAUCAUGGAUGACAUCAACAAAUUCAUUUUCAUCUCUAUAAAUAGGGACCUUCUUUCUCAUUUAUAGUACACCAUUUAAGAAGAACACCAACAUUUGAUAAGAUUUAGUUGUGUUUAUUUUCUUUUUUGUAGAGAAUAUUUGUGAGAGAGUCGUGUUGAGAAAUACUUUAAGUGAACCUCAUAUUUGGAGUGAUAUUUGUGAGGUUAUUCUCUUGGGUAUUUGGGAUAUAAGAAUAUUUAAUUACUCUAAUUUUGUACUUUUUUUUGUAUUUUUUUGUACUCUCUUUUGUUCCGUUGGUGUUUAGUAAAGUUACUCCUCAUUUUGUAUGUGGACGUAGGUUAAGUUGAUCGAACCACGUUAAAUUUAUGCCUCCUUUAUUUUCUCAACUUAUCAUUAUUAUCAUCUUUAUUAUUAUCUUUAAUUGAUUAUUUUAUUUAAUUCCGCACUAUUCGGAUUUUCAAUCCUAACAAAUAUAAGAUAAUAAUCUCAUAAUUUGUACUGAAAAAAUAAAAUUGACUACUCCUAUAACAUAUUAUAAAUGAACUAUCCUUCUCUAUAUCCAUUUCACUAACCACACGACUCCUUUUUUUUAUUUGAAGACUAUUAAUUCCCUCCAUUUUAGUCGUCAUGAUUAUCGAAUAUUUUUUAAUCCAAAAUAUUUAAAUUUUUUAAAAAGUAAAAUAAAAUAAACUUAUUCAUUAUGCAUAGCCCUGUAAGUUCACCUACUCCCCUCACCAAUCCCCUAAGGUGGGACCACAAAUUCAAUAUUAUAUUGAAGUUGACCUGAAAAAGAAAAAAAAUGGUUGGUGAAACUACUUUCAUGAUAUAUAAUACCAAUUGAGAUUUUAGUUGGAAAAAACAAUACAUAUGAAUACCAUUUUACAAUAAAUACCCAAUCACUGCCAAAAAUAAAAUUCAUACCAACUCCCAGUAACUGCCCACCACCUACUCCAUUUCACCGGAAAAUGUCGUCGGAAGCCCCGGCACCGGCUGCAAACUUCUGGGGCGAUAUGCCGGAGGAAGACUACUACGCCUCUCAAGGAGUACGCAACUCCAAAUCUUACUUCGAAACACCACAUGGCAAGCUCUUCACUCAGUCAUUUCUCCCACUUGACCCAAACGUAUCUCUUAAAGCAACUGUUUACAUGACUCAUGGAUACGGCUCCGACACCGGCUGGCUAUUUCAGAAAAUAUGCAUUAACUAUGCUACUUGGGGUUACGCUGUUUUCGCCGCCGAUCUGCUUGGACAUGGCCGCUCCGAUGGAAUUCGAUGCUACGUUGGGGACUUGGAGAAGACUGCUGCUGCUUCCUUGUGCUUUUUUAAGAGUGUGAGGAAUAGUGAUGAGUAUAAGCAUUUGCCGGCAUUUUUGUUUGGGGAAUCUAUGGGUGGGUUAUCUAGUUUGCUCAUGUAUUUUCGAUCGGAGCCGGAUACUUGGACCGGGUUGAUUUUCUCCGCCCCGCUUUUCGUCAUUCCUGAACCUAUGAAACCUUCUAAGGUAAGUAAGUAUAUUUUAGUUAAUUGUUUCUCGUUAUUCCCUGCUUGCAGCUUGUUAUUAUCGAGUUCAUCUAAAUCCAGUACUUUUAAUAUACUUAAAUGGAACAAUCAGCAGAUAUGAACCCAUAAAUAUAGCAGGUGCAAUGCUAAGAACCUUAAAAGUUAAAACAAAAAAAAUCUUAAAAUCCUGGAUCCGAUUAUGUUUAUUGGCUCAUACUUUGAUGACUUAAUUUGACAUAGUAAUCCUACCGGGCAGCCGUGGAGGCAGGAUUUUGGUGGAUUCCAACAAUUAAAGAAACAAACACGUGAAGAGCUAAAAACAUUAGAAACUGUGACUAGUGGGAAUUGGAUCUAUUUUGUCUAAGAGAAUUUGAAUCCCGUUUACUGCUGAGCUAAGCUUUUGGUUUGUGUCAAACGAUCCAACAUCAUAUACAUACACACACAUAAAAAAAUAAAUUUAACCUUAUAUAGAAGGUGGUUUGGCCAUCUAGAUCCACCUAUGCUUCCUGGAUUGACCAUAGUCUUCAAUUUGUCGUUAGAUUUUAUUAGACUCUGUGCGAUGACCCUAAGUUGUUAUCCCUUUGGCUCAAAUUUAUUCAAAUAAAACAAAAAUUUUAUGAUAGAAGUUCGCUCACAUAGCUUAGCUAGUUAGAACAUAGGACUAGGAGUCCUUGUGUCAUUGGUUUGAAUCCACUUCUAAGCGGAUGAAGGAUCUAAACUAUGAAUAGGUGGCUGUUGAUCGGAUCCUGAAUUCAAACGAAAGAGUAAGCUAAGCAUGUAAGGCCUGUUAUUCAUAAGAAAUACUUAUUGAUUUCAGAGAGACUAAUCUGUGGAAGUCCAGUGAGAUCUCAAUUGGCAGCUAACCUUUGCUCUAAUGGCUAUUAGUAUGUGCGUUUAGAAAAAAGAAUUUUGACAUUCAUACUAAAUAUAUACUCCUAUAUCCUUAAGCUAAACUAGUUCUUUAUUUAUUUAGUUGAACUCCUGAUGAGUCACGUUGAUUCUAAAGGGCUUGUUUGGUAGAAGAGAUAAGGGAUAACUAAUUCCAAGAUUAAUUUUAGAAUGAGCUUAUCCCAUGUUUGGUUGAGAUAAAAUGCAUGGAGUAACUCAUUCGAGGAUUAUAGUGCUAGUUUUAUCCCACCUUGAGAGUGAGAUAGCUAAUUCCGGAUAACUUGUUUCCAACCAAACAACCCCUAAGAGAACAUGUAGGUAAUUGACUUAUUUAAGUAAGAAAGGUAUCAAUCUUGGUGCUACGAACAAAAGAGAGGGAGAGAGACAGUAAAGGUAUAUUUCUAUGUUCCUGUGAAAAAUGAAGAGGAUUGUAGGUACUAUUUAUAGAUUGAAAAUAUUUUGAAAAGAUUAAAAAAAAUAUUUCAACCUUUAAAAUUGAAAUUAGAAUUUCAACUUUUCAACCUUGAAAUUUCAACUUUCUUCAUUGAACUUUUUAACUUUCAAAUUCAUAAUGGUUUUAAAAUUAAGUUGAUAAUACUACAAUACAUGAUUAUAAUUAAAAUUUCAAAUUUAAUCGGGUUAGCAUUAAAAAAUUCGAGCCCACAUUAACCAGCCCGUUUGUGGCUCAUUACCUAACCCAGACUGGCUAGCCCGACUUAGAAUAGUAACCUGUUCAUAAGGAUUCCUAUGUUUUCAGGGAUUCUUCUGUAUAUGAAGUAGUUGCAAUCCCAUCUGGGUAAUCAAAGGCAGAGAUUCUAUUCAAAUGCCCUGUAUUCUGCACCGGGAAAACAUACUACAGAAUCUUCUCCUUCAGAGUCAAGGCAUUUUGAGCCCUAGCUAGUAUUGAGAUUGAGAGCCGUAAAGAGUCUGAAGAUCAGUCAUUCGACUUGGGAAUCCCAUCCAACUACAGAUAAGGGAGGAAACUACAAACCAGUCUUAAUUCCUACAGACUAAGAUUCAGUUUCAGGUUCUGGCCAAAGAGCAUUUCACUUCAAAUAACCUGCCCGGCCCAACCCAUUUAUUCUUUGCCCAAACCGGCCCGGUUCCGGUAAUCAGUAACAAUAAAACUUUUUGGGCCGGUUUGGCCAGGACCUGCCUACACGGCAGGUAUAGUUUUGACCCCCUUCCUCCCCCUCCCCAAAUGUUCACUCAUAAAUUAAACCAUCUUUUCUCUUUGAAAUAGAGUAAAAAACCUAUCUGUUUCUUCCAUACUUUUUUGUUUGUUUGUUGGAAGGUCAAUACAAUAUGCACAACUAUUGCUGGUCUUGCUUUUGGGAGGCUCCUAUAGACAUUUCAGAUUAGACUUGAUCCCCGUUAGAGUCCUAUUUUCUCUCUUUUUGAACGGUGGCUUACCUACAACCCUUAUGUAAAUAAGAUUGAUGCAUAUACCCCCAUCGAACCAAAUUGUACCUCCUUUUCCCAUUGGCACUCUAAUCAAAUUGUCAGUCUUAAAUUAUACUACGUAUUGAUUCACAUUUUAAGAAUAGAAUUUGGAUCUCAGAAAGUUCUUAUUUUAAAUGAUAUAUUUGAAAAUCAUGACUAAAGUUACUUCUUUUCUGGUGAAAGGACUAUCAAUAAUGAGAGCUUUGCUUUUUACCAUGUAGGUACAUUUAUUCGUGUAUGGACUGCUAUUUGGAUUUGCCGAUACAUGGGCGGCUAUGCCAGACAACAAAAUGGUGGGCAAGGCUAUAAGGGACCCUGAGAAACUGAAAAUAAUCGCAAGCAAUCCCAGGAGAUAUACCGGAAAGCCAAGGGUUGGAACUAUGAGGGAGAUUGCCAGGCAGUGUGAAUAUGUCCAGAACAAUUUCCACAAGGUCACUGCUCCAUUUUUUACAGCUCAUGGUACCUCGGAUGGGCUUGCAUGUCCUACAGGCUCACAAUUGUUGUAUGAGAAGGCAAGCAGUGAGGACAAAACCCUCAAGAUUUACCAUGGAAUGUAUCAUUCCUUGAUCCAAGGGGAGCCUGAUGAUGCUGUCAGUCUUGUUUUAGGUGAUAUGAGGGCUUGGAUUGACGAGAGGGUUGAGAAGUAUGGUCCAAAAAUCAAUGGCUCUGCAUAAUACUUUUCAACUUUGAACUCUGCUUAAUCGAUGUAUUCUUUUGUGCUUGACCCCAAAUUUGGUAGUUGAGCGGACCACAUCUGGCAAACUAUACGCCUUAAAGAAACCAUAGUAUUUUUAAUUACUAUUCGUCCCAGAUAUUAUCUCUAUUUGUUCCUUGAAUAUGCCAGUGUUUCAAUGUCUGGUAAUGUUGUUGUUGGUUGAAAAUGUGAUGUAUGAAGGAAGAGGUUUGGCAAUUGACCGCAACAUGGUAAAACCUGAAUUUAGGUAUUGUUCUGUAGUGUGGGCACAAAGUUCUUAUCCCUGGUGCUCCAAAAGACGCGGUAAUGUCGUUUUCACUUACCUACUUCUAAGAUUUUAGAGUUCAACUGAAGGCAUCUUUUGACAUUUCGGAAAGGCAUGGCAACAAGUAUACUUCUCUUUCAUUUCUGGUGGAAUGGGGAACAGAAUAAUCAAUAGUUUGGUAGAAGCAACAUGGGGCCCUUGUUUUAUUAGAAAAACUUUAAUGUGCCUCACACUACAACUAAUAAUCCUUUUUGUGAUACAAGAAAGUGGAUUUUUUUUUUAAUCCAGGUGUUUACAUUAAACCAAUAUAUGCAUGCCAUGUGUUUGGAUAUAGAGUUUAUUUUACUUAAAUACAAUUAAUUAAUAUGUAUUUUACUUCAUUAAAUCACUGAAUCAUGGUAAAUUACAUUAGUUUUUACCCAAGAAAGUGCACUAGAAUAUUAGUUUUUACCCAAGAAAGUGCACUAGAAUUUGUAGAUCCAAAAGUGUAGCCAUUUUUUGUCUCACUCAAUUAAUGUUUAGUUGUUUGAGUCGCACAGUAAAAUUUCUAAGCAGAGAGAAGUUGGUGGUCUAUUUAGCUGCCUAAAACAAUGUAUGCUCUCAGUUCCUUCAGCACGCUACUCCAACUUGAAAGAACGAGUCGUAGGUUGCUAUUAGCUUCGACAUUUAUAGCAUACAUUGGAAGGGAAAAGACAUCGUUUUCACCUCAAACUAUACCUGAAAAGUCGAAGCUACACCUAAAUGACCUAUUACACACCUAAACUAUCAAAAAGUGAAACUAUUUACACCCUGUCAGCCUACCACCACUUGCAUGUGGCGUAGUGUUUUACACGGGCUGCCACAUCAACAUCACGUCAGUAAAAAGUAUCAUUUUCUUAUAGUUAAGGUGUGUAAUAGGUCACUUAUAUAGUUUAGGUGUGGAUUCGACUUUUUGACUAUAGUUUGGGGUGGAAACGAUGCCUUUUCCCUUAAUGUUUUUAGCCGUUUACUUUUGUUAUUUAAUGGGCUGGACGCGCCUAAAAUAAGUGUAACACACGCGCCUUAGAAUGGGGGUUGCGGGAAGGUAAUAAUAUUACUUUUAUAUAGUUAAGGUGUGUAAUAGGUCACUUAUAUAAUUUAGGUGUGGCUUAGACUUUUUUUGUAUUGUAUGGGGUGGAAAUGAUGCAUUUUCCAUNNNNNNNNNNUCCCUACAUUGGAAUAAGACAUGGAUGACGGUAUUAGAUUUACGGCAAACAACAUAAAUUUUGACAAUUUGGAGCUUAAUUAUGGAAAAUUCCGACAUUUUACGUAAAUACUGAAAAUAUCGAUUUGGGUCUGUCAAGAUACAUAAUUAACUCCCGAUACAUUCAACGAAGAUACAUUUUUUUCUUUGUAAAUAUACAAAAUUAACUUCAAAUACAUUUUUUUCGAUUUUGAAUCUAUCAAGAUACAUAAUUAGUUUCCUGAUACAUCUAAUAAAGAUACAUAAUUAGUUGAGAUUUUUGUAAUUAUUUUGUAAGGAGUGAGAAUUUAUGUAAAUAUGAUAAGUAAAGGCGUAUAUUUAUGUAAUUUUUCCUAAGAUUUAUUGCAGAGUUGUGAUGGUCCAUAUUGAUGCAUGAGCUGCUGACCCAAGUCUAAAGAAGAUACCCAAUUUUGGGCCGUAAGAGAUUCAAUUUUCCUAGCUUAACUUAAUACAAGACCAACCUAGGAAUACCAGAUGUACAUUUCCCAGGGAUUUUUACACUACAGCAGCUAGCCCGAUAAACACAACAAAAAACACUUUAAUCUAAACAUCUAGCAAUGUUAAGGUCAAUAUAAUCAUAGUAUAUCUAUCUAUCUAUCUAUAUAUAAUUUGUAUAUAUACGUUAUACACUAACUAUACUGAGUAUACAUCAACAACUUGUACAAAAAGUUAUGUCUAGGCGGAUAAAUUAUUUUUAAAAGCGCUGAAUUAAUAAUAUUAAGAUCUUGAUAAAUUUGUAGAUAGCACCAAUAGCUAUCAUCCAUGAAAUUGUGUCUUGCAAGAAGAGGAAAAUGUGGAGUGCAAAGCAAGGCUGCCCAGAGCCGUAGCUGCAGAGAGCACAGAAACAAAUACUUCCUCCGUUUAAAAAAGAAGGACUUAGUUUGACUUGACACGGAGUUUAAGAAAAUAAUUUGUGGCGUUAAAUUAAAGAUAUGUCAAAUGUGUCAAAGUAUCCUUCAAUCUUGUGAUCUGAAACAUGUCACGUGGAAAAUUAAAAUUAAAAAGUUACUAAAAAGAAAAAGAAUUAUAUUUUUUUUUAAAUAAAGUUUUUUAACGGAGGGAGUAAUAGGAGUAAUCAAGAUAGGCGAUCACCAAUAAGGUCCCCACUUCUAACUGUUCCAAGAAAUAUCAGGUGCUUCACGCAAUUCACAACCACCCCAACCUUUACCAACACUUUUUAAAAGGCAUGGAUUUGUCAAUCAAACUUCAUUUACAUACUUGAGUUACAAUUUGUUUUUGUUAAGUAUUUGAAUAUAUGAUAAAGAUAUUUUAAUUAUAUACUUCCCAUUCAAAAUAUUGAAGAAGUUUUCAGUGUGUAUUCUCCAUCAUUUAUUAUGUAAAUCAGUAAGCUCAUUCAAAAUAUAUCAUCCUCUUUUGUUAUAUUCAUUAUAAGCCUCAUUAUUUUGUAAAACCUCAUACAUGUUCCAAUUCAAGCUGAUGUGUAUAAUUAAGGGAAAAAAACAUGUAUUUACUCAUCAUUUUUGACAAAUUAUGAAAAGAUAAAAUUUAUUUUUCAUGUUUUACCAUUCACUAAUUAUUCUCCAAAUUAUUUUCCAAUAUCUAUUACUCUCUCCAUUUCAUAUUAAGUGAAUUGUUGAGAUUUUUUCAUAAUUUGAAAUAAGUAAAUUUGUUAAAAGUCAAUGAGAAUUGUUGAAACUUUUUUUUACAUAUUUACUCUUUCAUUUAAUGAGGUUCUUAAGUAUUUCUAAUUUUUACAAAAAUAAUUUUAGAAUAAUUUGAAGGAUAAUAGUGGAAAAUAACCUACAAUUUAUGUUCUUAAUUUUUUAUUUUUUUUUAUUAAGGAAUGUGUCAUACUCUAAGAAUUCACUCAAUAUGUGGAAUGAAGGAAGUACUAAACAUCAAUUAAUAGGUAUAAUUAGAUAAAGUCACCGUAUCAAUUAUGUGUGCUAAGUCAAAAUGUUAGAAGAAAGUAAAAAUAACCAUAAAACCGAUAUCUAAGCCUUGCACUUUCACAUUAAUUCCUUUCAUGCCCAUGCUCAUUAUUUUAGCAAAUGGCCAUCUAAGGACGUCUUCAGUAUUUGGAAUCAAAUUAUGGGUGUGUUUGGUACGAAGAAAAACAUUUUUUGAAAAAUAUUUUUCAGUUUUUUUUUUGUUUGGUUGUGUUAUAUGUUUUGAAAAAUAUUUUUCAAAUUAAUUUAAUUUAAGGAAAAUAACUUUCCUUCAAAAAGUAAGGAAAAUAUUUUCAAAAACUCUCUUUCAAGCUUAUUUUAAAGUUGAAAUAUUCGUACAAUUCUCAACAUCAUCUACUCCGCCUUCAAUACCCUAUCACCUCGACACCAGCCCUACCCCCACCUCUGCCCCUACCCUCACCCCUCCACCCCCAAAAUUCAAUUGUUUUAAAAAGUAUUUCAAAAUUUCUUCUUAAUCUAUUCCCUACCCACAACCCCUACCCUACCAGCCUCCUUCCAAAAAUUAUAUCUACAUUUUAUUAAUUCAGGGUUUAGGGUUCAGGGUUCAGGGUUCAGGGUUCAGGGUUUAGGGUUCAGGGUUCAGGGUUCAGGGUUUAGGGUU